UUUAUUGUAAACUAAUUCCUCUAAUGCACUAUUAAUUAUAUAAUUUUCUUAUAAAAUAUUGUAAAACAAUUUACACAUAAUAUUUCAUAGUUAAAAUAUUUUCAAAUUAAUUGAAAUAUUUUUAAUAACGCCAUAUAAUUAAUUACUUAUAUAUAUAUAUAUUGACAUUAUACAUUUAAGGUGAUUAAUUUAUAAUGGUAAAAUAGUAAAAUAGUUAAAGUGUAAUUAAUUAUUUAAAAUUUUUUAUGAAUCAAAUAAUUUCUCUUAUUUUUUCAACAAUAAGAUUACAUUAAUUUAACAUAAAAGAUGAUGAUGUGUCAAGUAAUGAAACUAUUCUCUUAUCACAAAAAUAACUAUGUCACGCAAACAAUUUCUUUAUAUAUUUGUAUACAUUAAAAUAUAUAAUAUAUAUAAUUAUUGGAAUAAUUAUAUACAAUUUUGCUACAUUGAGUGUUGUAAUAUUUGAAGAUGAUUUUGUGUAAUUUUCUAAAUAAAAAUUUAGUUUUAAUACUGAUACCAAUGUGGUAUUUAGAUUUAUUUAUUCUGUUAAAUAUGUACAAUAAAUCAAAACUAAUGCUUCAUCUUUAUAAAAGUAAUUAAAUUAAAAUUUUAUACUUAUAAUUACAGUAAUUAAAAUUCAUGUGACCAAAUCAGAAAAAAAAAUAUUCAUAUAUUCAUAAAUUAUAUGCGAGGCCUUUGAAUUGUUUUGUCUCAUUCUCUCAUUUAACCCCAUAAAUUCACCAUGAUUCUAAACACUCAAACCAUCUCCAAGUACCUUCUUCCUCUAACAAUGGCUGCCAUCGUCUCUCUUUUCGCCUUUGUUUUUGCCAUUGUUGGUCUCUCUAAUCUUUCCAUUAUUCAAGCUCAAAAGGAUGGUUUCAGUGUAGAAUUAAUCCACCGUGACUCUCCAAAGUCUCCCUUAUACAAUCAUUUAGAUACUACCUACAAUCGUGUAACCAAUGCCUUGCGUCGUUCUUUUAAUAGAGUUCAUCGUUUCAAACCGACUUCUGUGACAACAAUGGAAGCCGAAGUCGAUAUUAUGGCAGAUUCGGGUGAAUACUUGAUGAAUAUAGCAAUUGGAUCCCCAGCUUUUGAUAUUUUCGCCAUUGCUGAUACCGGGAGUGAUCUUAUUUGGACUCAAUGCAAGCCUUGUUCUCAGUGUUUCCCGCAAAACGGCCCUCUUUUCGACCCCACCGCAUCAUCAACAUAUAAAAAGUUUUCUUGCAGAACAAGUCAAUGUGGGGAUGUUGAAGGAACAUCUUGUUCAAGAAACGGCUCAUGCCAAUAUUCAGUCUCUUAUGGCGAUGGAUCUUACUCAAAUGGCGAAGUUGCUUCUGAUACACUCACCUUGGAUUCAACAACGGGUAGUCCAGUCGUGGUUCCAAAUGUUAUUAUGGGUUGCGGACGUGAUAAUGAUGGAAGCUUCGACGAGAAUACCUCUGGCAUCAUUGGCCUUGGAGGUGGAGACUCUUCGUUGAUUUCCCAAUUGGGAACUACAGUUGAUGGCAAAUUCUCCUACUGCUUAUUGCCCUUUUCCGAAGCUGGAAAUUCAAGCAAGAUGAACUUCGGUUCUGAUGCCAUUGUUUCUGGUAACGGAGCUGUUUCGACUCCAUUAACCAAACAAUCCCCUCAAACUUUCUACUUCCUCACCUUGGAAGCAAUCAGUGUGGGAACCAACCGAAUAAAGUUUACGGAUAAACCUUUUGGAACAGACCAAGGGAACAUCAUCAUCGAUUCCGGUACGACAUUGACACUUUUACCAGAUGAGUUUUACUCGGAACUCGAAUCAGCGGUGUCUAGCAUGAUCAAUGCGCCGAAGGUUAAUGGUCCCGAGGGUCUGAAUUUAUGUUACGAUGCUACAACAGAGUUUGCAGUGCCAGAUAUUACAGUUCAUUUCAGUGGUGCAGAUGUAAAAUUGCAGCCAUUAAACACCUUCGUCUUGGUUUCUGAAACAGUUGCUUGCUUUACAUUCAGUCCCGUUCCAAAUUUCGCCAUCUAUGGUAACUUGGCUCAGAUGAAUUUCUUGGUUGGAUAUGAUACUAUUAAACAGACGGUGUCGUUCAAACCUUCAGUUUGCUCCAAUUGUUGGAAAAAUAUGGACAUUACAUAUAUAAUAAGCAUAAUUACAUGUUAUUAUUUAUUAUCAUAAAAAGUUAAUUUAAAUUAAAAGUAAUUUAAUUUAGUUAAAAAUUAUUGAAUUUUAAUUAUUAAAUAAAGAAUGUGCCAAAAUAUGCGUAGAUAUAUAAUUUUGAGUUUGAUAUUUUGACUAUUUAUGUUGAUAUUUGAGAUUCAUGUUAAUAUGCUUAAGUUUUGAUUAUUUAUAAUUUAUAAUAACGAUUUUGGUGUUUUUCUAUUGUUAUAUUUUUAAUAUGUAUGAUGGAAAUAUUAAAUUAAUGUGUUAAAAGAAUUGCUUUUAGUUGUCAUCAUUGAUUUAUAUGCUAAUUUCAAAUUUUUAUUUACGUUUUUUUUUAACGGAAAAAUAAAUUCAAAGGCAAUGUUUUGAUUAAGAUUUCAUUAUAAAAACCAUGACCAAAGAGUAUAAUUAGAAGAUUUGGAUGUGGGGCUUAUACAGUUUCAAUGAAUAAGUUUUUUUAAAUAAUUUAUCUAAAAUGGCCAAUUUUUAAGUAUAUUUAUAGAAAUGGGUUUCAGUAUUAUUUAUCGGAAAGGGCUAUUUUUGACAAAACACAUCCACGUAGGAGCGUUUAAGGAGAAAUUUCCAGCAAAUUGCGCCCUUGGGGAGCCUUUUUGCCAUGUUAGCACAAAAUGCACUGACGUGAACACGCUUUGCUAACGUGGCAAAAAAGCUCUCCCAAGGGCGCGUUUUGCUCCGUGUUUUUGACACCAACGGCUAUUUUUUUUACCGUUGGGGGGUCCAACGGUAAAAAAAAAGUAUAAAACACCCUCCUAUUAUUUCACACAAUAUUUCUUCAAAUUUUAGCAAAAAAUGCUCUCAAAUUUCUCUCUAAAGCUCUCAAAUUUCUCAUUAAAUUUCUCAAAGCUCUCUUUAAUUAGUUAUUUACUUUAAUUUUUUUUCUAAAUUAGUAUUAUUUUUUUAUGAUUUCAAAAAUAUUUCAUCGUGUUAGCAAUGAUCCCCAUUAUUUCAUCUCGAUCAUAAACAUAUCUUUGUCGAACAAAUAAAAAUGAUAAGGGUUAAUUUUAAUUUUUGAAUAUUAUUUAAUAUUUUUUUAUUUAUGUAAUUUUAAUUCAUUUUUAUUUUAUAGUUUUUUAUAAUAGUCUGUAGAUCAGAUGUUACAAUAUUAUAUUCAUAAUAUGCCUGGUCCUCCAUCACCGUUGAUAGAAAAUUACUUGAGGGAAGUGGGUUUUUAGCACGCCGCCACUAUAGGCCGAGGGUGCAAGUUGGACACGAAACUCAUCAAUGCGUUAAUAGAAAGGUGGAGACCCGAGAUGUACACAUUCAAUCUUCUAUGCGGAGAGUGUACUAUCACUUUGGAGGACAUCCAGUUACAAUUAGGAUUGCCGGUGGAUGGGUCCACAAUCACCGGGCCUGUUCAAUCUGCUGAUUAGGGAGUCAUAUGCUACGGUCUUUUAAGUGCGAUUCCAGAUAAUAUUUACGAAGGUCAGAUCGAGAUGGGCUGGUUACGAGACACAUUCCCAGAGCCGGAUAAUGAUUCGAUAAAGUAGAAAGAAUACGAUAUGCUCAGGCAUACAUCUUUGAGAUGAUUAGAGGUCAUUUGAUGCCAGACUUGUCACGAAACCUUGUACAUCUGAGGUGGCUGCUGAAACUCGUUGAUUUUAGAGCAGCUGGCGAAUUAAGUUGGGGGUCUGCCGUGUUGGCAACAUUGUAUCGGGAGAUGUGCAAGGCGACACCACCAAAUAAAGUCAAAAUCGGAGGUUGCCUAUCACUAGUACAAUCAGGGGCUCGGUUUCACUUUCUAUUUUUAUGUCCUUGAGUGAACCACCCAUAUACAUUUCCACUCAUAAUGAGGUGAAAUUUUUAUUUGAUUUUACAAUUAUUCCAUAGAUUUAAAAUAAAAUUAUAUGCUGAAAAUUUAUUUAAUUAGGUGGAACCAUCCGGCAAGUUGUGUUGGAAUACCUACCGCUCUUGAAGAUAUACGGCCUCUAUUAGACUAACGGUCGGAAGCGCAAGUAAGUUUUAAAUAAAAUAUAUAUAAAUAAAAUAGUCGUUUCAUAUUUAGUAUUUAGUAUCUAGUAUUAUGUAUAUAACUAAUAUAUUUAUCACAUUCAUAUAGUUUCAAUGGACACCGUACGAGGAUCCGGCAAUACGGGCCGUAAUUCUGGAAGAAUUCUUUUAAAAUCCGAACAUUUGGCAUGUUAAGGUCUCAUUGGUUAACUAUGCUACUAUCGAGAUGCAUUAGACAGAUAGAGUGUUGCGACAAUUUGGAUUCCAACAACCGAUUCCUGAGGAACCUGAAGUGCUCGAUGACCAGCAAAAAAUCGACUUACAGCAAACGAAUACAAAUUGAUCAGAAUUCUUCUCGAAAUAUAUCAAAAUUUAGGAAAACCAGUAUGAUCAUAUACCUAAUUGUGAAUCGAUCAUCGUCCCAGAAUUAGCGUGCAUGCUGGAUUACAUGCCAUGGUUUAGGAUCCAUUGCAAGCCAUAUUUACUAUUGGAAGAGCAGCGGCGUCGGAAAAUCCGUUUCGAAAGGGAACGACGGACCCUUUAAAUCCAAGAAGAAGAGAUGACGGCAUGGGCCCAACAACAGUAUCCACACAAUUACCAGGACAAAUGCCUCAAUCGACGACACCUAUAGCACAGCCCCUUCAAAUUAUGCCAGGUGUGUAUCCUAGCCCUUAUAUGUAUCCUAACCCUUAUAUGUUUUCAUUUCACAGUCCUAUGCUAGGUUGGAAUGAUGGCUCGGUGCAUCUCCUUUUUGAUAACUCUGACUCAACCGAUGAUAUAUAGGUCAUCAUCCCGGAGGGAUCACACGAGGCAUCAUCGGGGAACUCAGCUCAUUACCAAUCCCCAUCGCCUUAUGGGAUUCAAACACCUCCACCGUGGCUGAUGCAAACACCUCCACAUUCUUUAUUCUACCAAUAUGGGACAUCCUCCCAACACCCACAACCGGAGCAACUACAACCCCCACCGAAAGCGCAACUAAGGAGGAAUCAAGCGUGUAGUCGUCGAUCACCCCCAUGUGGCACUGAUUCCGACAGACAAUACAUUGAAUUUUUUUAAUAUAUUUGUACAAAUUGUUUCUACGUUGUUUCAUUUAAUAAAAUAAAAGUUGCUUUUAAUAUUUUAAUACUAAAUUAAUUUUAUAUUUUUAAUAAAAUAGAAUUUCUUUUAAAUAAGGUGGAAUAGAAAUAAUGCAACAUAGUUUCAUUACAGCAAUUAUCAACUAUUUCAAUUUGGGACAUGGUCGAAUGGUAUGACCUGGGUUCCUACACCAUCGACACAACUUUUGUUGGUUCUUUCUUUCUCGAAUAUCCAUAUUAUUAUGUAUUCUACUCGAGCAAGGUCAACCUUUUGGUUUGCAACGCAUUUCUCUAUCCGAUAACAACUUAAAUGGAGCAAGCGAUACAAAUGACCACUUGCGUUCAUCUAGGACUAGUGGGAAUACGUGUCUCCACACAUUGUACAUGUAUUCUAUUUUGUACACUUUGCCGCCAUAUCUUAUGGGAUCCAAACGGAGAUUCUGACAAGUUACAAUUGCAUGAGCGCAUGGAUAACAAAGUGUGUCAAACGUCCCAUAGUCGCAAGUUCUAUUUAUCAGGUGUACACGAUAUUGUCCGUCGGUAAUACAUUCUUCGCUCAGUCUAUCAAACUCUGUCACACGAAACCAUAGUUUGUCGUGAUCAUAACACACUGUGUGCAUCGUGUUGGCCCGCGACUUCGCAUUGUUAAUUUCUUACAAUACCUUUCGGAACCAUAUAUGGCCUCCCUGCAUUUGGCCUUUAUAACUCACUACUCACUUUGGAAAUAGUGCCGCCAAAUAAAAAUAUGUUUCUUGCACAAUCGAGGUAAUCGGCAAAUGACGUAUUCCUUUUAGAACAAAAUUUUUGCAUUCAACUAGGUUUGUGGUCAUAUGACCAUAUCGUAGGCCACAGUCAUAUACUUGUGUCCACUGUUUGUAUUUUACAGAGGUAGUUUGCGCCUUGAUUGUUAACUGAACGCAAAAUCCCCAACAUCUCAUGAAAAUGGUCCUUAUUGAUAUCGUACCCUGCCAAUAUAAGUUGAUAGAAAAAAUUACAUAUCAAUAUUCCAUUCAGAAUAAAUUGAAUAUUACAAACGAAAGUAUAUUAAUAGAGAUUAGAUACCGAUAUUGGUCACUUGCCAUCGUUCAGUCGUAGACCAAUAUUGCCCGUAGUAGUUGGACACAACGUACCUUAGACAAUACCUAUGGUGUGGCGAUCCCAUAGGCUUUCCUGUUCCUCAAUUACUGCUAGUAUUCUAGUACCCCGAUCUAAUAUAAUGCAAAUAUCAUGUUGGAGGCAUACAUGCCUCCCUAAUCUAGAAAGAAAGAAAUCUCAGCCAUUAGCUGACUCCCCCAUUGUUAUUGCAAAAGCAAUUGGAAGGAUUCUCCUACCGCCAUCCUAUGCCAUAGCUAGCAAUAGCCGAUGGGUAUAUUUACCAUAUAUAAAGGUACCUUUAAUUUGUACCAAUGGCUUGUAGUACACAAAUGUGUCCCGACAUUACUUAAAGCUCUAGAACAGACGCUUGAACACUUGACAUCCACGGAGCAAUGGUCAUUGUAGUACGCGAGGACCGUUUCAAGGUCUAUUAUGCAACCUAGGACGUACCUCUCUAGCACCUGACACCACUGCCAAACCUCAUUAUAUGAAGCGUCUUACCUACUAUGCAUCUUUUCCAAUGCCUUCUGGUUAGCUAUCCAAGCCUUGCGAUAAGAGGACGUGUAUCUCAAUUGUCUACGAAUACUGGCAAUUAUGCAUGACACAGAAGUCCUGGGAUUUUCCUUCAACAUCGAUAGUAUUAAGUUAGUUAUCAUACUUGAAUCCAUCUUGGGAUGAUCUUGUGAAACACUUGUCAAAGAAGUACGUUAAAUAAUGCAACAUUAAGUAAUAACAUUAUUAUUCAAAAAACCCUAGACAUCCAGUGAUACUGUACCGGCAACACAAGUAUGUGGACCUUUGUACUUUUUCAUCUCUCACAAGCCUGUCUUUUUCCUAAAAGAAGCCAUGAUUUUCUAUGAACAUGUAUCAUCUUGCACUGCACACUUGGCCUCAAACUUCUCAAAUUUGGAUUUAACCACAUUGUAGUUAACCCCAUGAUUGAUGCUAUGUUGUUUCAAAGCACCAAGAAAACUAUCCUUACUGGAAAACUCCUUACCAACUUCCACUUCACCCGAAUCCAAUGACGAACCUGUAUGAUCACGCGCUCUGUGUGGUAGAUUUGGAAACUCUAAUGCAUCAUCUACCGAUAUAUUGACAUUAUACAUGUGGGCUGGAGGCGAGUACGCCCUGAAUCACGGAUCUUUUUCUUUUUCAUCUGAACCCCCUUUAACGUCUUUAGGUUCGGAUAGAAUAGGCUCCGGUGUAGAAAAUAAUGCAACUUCUACAUCAUUUAGGUCGGGCUCUCGAGGUGGAUCCACAUCGGACUCAUCAUCCAAGCCACCAUCAUCUGCAACGUACGAGGUCCCCUUACCGGUAGAUGUCGUAGGGAGUACAUCAUCCAUUCUUAUGGACAUUUCGUAACGUCCCCAAUCAGAUGUGGAUUACCAACCACUAGAAGUUGAUGUCAAUCCCCAAUAUGCAUUUCCUACAUCGAACAUCGACCCACCGAUGUGCACAUCCCAUCCACUAACUGAUUGUCGUGCAGAAGUUGUGUUUUCCAUACUGCCACCAAACACGGGCGCUUCCAUGUUCUGCCUCCCACUAACUGAGUGUUGGGUAGGGGUCAUGUAUUCUUCUUGAAUAGCAGUUGAUGUUAAAGUCUCAAAUGUAACACCCCUUACCCAUAUCCGACGCCAGAAUAGGGUUUGAAGCAUUACUGGACUUAAACAUAAACAUUCAUAUAAAAUCGGGUCAUAAAAUUUUGUUCCAAUUUAUAACUUUUCAAUCAUAUGCAUAUCGUCCCUUAUAAGGGUCUACAGACCCGAAACAUACAUCGAAAGUGGUUCAGGACUAAACCAAGAACUUUUGGAACCUUUUAAACACUUAGAAAAUUUUCUUGUUUUGUAGAGUCACACACCCAUAUAGGUAGGCCGUCUGGUCACACACGCCCGUGUGGCUCGGGACAUGCUCGUGUCCUCAACCCAUAUAACUCUCUGACUAUGAAGUCAUCAACAAAAUAAGGUCACACAGCCAAAUGACACGCUCGUGUCUUAGACCGCGUGGCGAAUUAAAUUCCAAAAAUUAAGUACAAACUUCACACGACCUGGGCACACGCCCAUGUCCUAAGGUCAUGUCCUUCACACGGCUGAGACACACGGCCGUGUCUCUGGCCGUGUGUUUACUACUGGGCAUUCUGUUUUGCAUAAUUAGGGUACAAGGGUGAUAAUACUCUAGAACGACAUAUUUUAUGUACUAAUUUGGGUUAUUUUGAGUAUGAUCCUACUAAUUUGGGAUAUUUUAUGGUCUUUUAUCUUUUAGAGACUAAAUUGAAGGCAAAAGUAAAUUUAAGGGCGAAAAGCGUGAAUUUGGAGAUAAAGUGGGCCAACAUGUGAAGUAGGAGAAAAGUGGUGCCGAAAAUGCAAAGUGUGAAAGACUUUUGGGGCAAAAAUGCAAAAGAAGAGAUUUUAUAGCACAAGACUUUAUUUAAUGUUUAAUUAUAUUAGGAUAAUUAUUAAGAGAUAAUUAUUAAGGAUAAUUAUUUAGAUUUAAUUUUAGGAUUUAAUUUUAUUUAUCUUUAAUUAUCUUUAUUUAUUUGUAUUUAUCUUUUAGAAUUUAAUUAGGAAUAGACUAGGUUUCUUAGUACUAUAAGUAGGGGAUGAAGUGACAUAAAUUUGGUCCAUCUUUUUGCUAUAACACUCUCUCCCCCAUAAAUUUAGUCUUUUUGCUCUUUCAUAUUUCAAUAAAAAAUUCCCUUUCCAUUAUUUUUAUUUAUUUUUCCCUAAAAAAUCAUGAGCCACUAAAUCUAAUAUAGCUGAAGGUUGUCGAAAUUUCCCAAAAAGGUUCACGAGGCUUAGAAUCUGUGCUUAGCCUUCUCAACAGGGUAUUCAUCGCUUCUCCGUAUUACGGGGCUGACACUUCUGUCCAUGCCCCUUAAUAGGUGAUCUUUUCAACUUGUGCAAGGAACGGCCGCUUUGUACGUUUAGGGAAUGUUGCACAAUCGGUUCGUUGGCUUUCUACGUCAAAGGUUGAUGAGUCCAAGAGAUAAAAUGGCGUGGUAUUUUCCAUUAGGAAGUGAUGAUCUAGCAGAAGAUAGUCCUACAAAAAUGAUUAUUGACUAGAGUUAGGUUCUGCCAAAUCUUAAAGUUUAAAUUCUUGGAGCUGGUGGUCGUAAGCGUCUUCUUCCACUAUAACUGGCUUAUUGUGCUUGAGAAUGAUCACUUAAAAGCCAAGGAUUGGAUCCAAGGCGAAUCGAGACAACCGGAGGCUGGAAUCUCGCCACAUAAGAAGCUCUCUCUUUUCCCAAACUCUGUUUAUUUAAUUUUUCAAUUCAACUUUCAAUUUUGUUUUUAUUUUAUUUUUCUAGAUCAAAACUUUUAAUUCUAUUUUUUUUAUUUUUUUUAGGAAAGUAGUUUUUUUGGGCACGAUUCUGCCCAAGAUUUCGAAAAACAAGUAUUCGUGCAAUACGGUCCUUGAGAAUUCGACCCUACUUCCCCUUUGCUGUUUUUUUCAUUAUUUUGUAGGAAAUAGGAUAUUUUUGGUGCUCUCAAUGACUACACCAAGGAGACACAUGGCUGGAUCACACGCCUAUGGGGCAGACUAUGUGUCACACAUGGCCAAGACACAUGCCCGUGUGUCUAACCGUGUAGACAAUUUCUAGGCUAUUUUCCAAGCCAUUUGUCACCCAAAAACACUCACACAUUUACACUAACUUCAUGGCAUGCAACAUGGCACAUUUGAUUACUCAAACAUUUACAUUCAUGAUUAACUAUGACUUAGUAAAGUCAACAUGUCACCCAUUCAAAUUAUCAUACUUUCAUAUUGCAUUCCACAUGCAUUUCAUGUUUAUUUAUCAUUUUUACCAAUCUACCUUCAAGUUACACAUUUUCACCGUAUUUUUGCAUACUUAUUAACCAUAUCUCAUUCAUUAAACGUACAUGCCAUCCAUCACACUCAUCAACCACAAUCAACCAUAACCAUAUUAAAGCAUCAACACAUUUGCAUGCAUACAUCGUUAAAUAAGGUUACAACCCAAAAUAAUCAAUAUGAGCCACCUCUUAUGGCAAUAUACAAAAUAAUCAUGAUACCAUCAUAAGCCAACACAUUUGGCUAAUCAAUAUGACACAUAACAAAAAGACCAAGUCCCUAUACAUGCCAUACUUAAAAUGAUAAGGCUAGCUAUAUCCAAAUGUUCGACUAGUAAUGUGAUCGAGUUUUCGACAUUCUCUGGUCCCCGAGUUAGUUUAGCGAAACUAUAAGAAAGGAAAACGAAAGAGGGUAAGCAUAAAGCUUAGUAAGUUCACAUGCAAAUAAAAUGUAACUUAACAAAAUAAAUCAUGCAUUUAACACAACGAACAUAACCUUGCAUUUUAUCAAAUCUCAUGAAUUUAUCUCUCAUAUAUAUAUGUAUACAUGUUCUUACCACAAGCUCAUCAUAUUUUAUGUCAUUCACAUGAGUUCGAUGUACAUACUUGUGCCACUUUCACAUAAUAACUUAUUUUCAUGUUUUGAUGUAAUCGUUACGAUUACUCAUAGAACUUCUUUGAACUACUCAUUGAACACUCGGAAUACUAUCAGACACAUCGGAAACUUGAACCUAAGUGCCUCGUAUGUAGCCAAUGCUACUCCAUAUCUUAGACUACAUGUUGCUCACAUACGAGCUACUCACGGGACUGCUCAUACAGGUCGUCAGGUAUCCGUAACACAUGCCAGAAUACCUCGCCAUUAAUAGCAUAUACGAGACUAGAACCCGGAUGCCAAAACAUGUGUCACACAUAUCACGAACUCAGACCACAACUCAAUGAGUUCCGUUGUCACCUAUAUCAUGAACUCAGACAGAACUCGAUGAGUUCAGAUUACAUAAUUCCUAGUGACAUGUCACUUGUAUCCUAACUAUUUCUAAGGUUCAAACGGGAUUCUUCGAUACCACAUUUCUGUAGAACUUGCUCGUAAUGUCGAUUUCAAUGCUCAUAGCACCAAAUCACAUAUUCAUGAAGAAAUCAAAGCAUAAUUCAUGAUACAAUUUAGGCAAUAAACACAUGAUACAACAUCAAAUUAAAUAUGUAUGUACUUACCAUACAUGCAAUAUUAAAGCAUUUAAAGUAUGGUAUAUGUUGCAUUAUUUGCAAAUGAACUUACCUCGGUACAAAAAUAUAGAAACAAGCCUAAUCCUCGCAAACCUUGUUCUUCCCCUGAUCAAGACCCGAAUCAUGUUUUUCUUGAUCUAUAAUGCCAAAUUUAACUUUCUCAAUAUACACAUUACUCAUAUCAAAUCAUAACAUAUACUUUGGUAAAAUUACCUUUUUACCCCUAACUUUUCAUUUAUUUACACUUUAGUUCCUAGGCUCAUAAAAUGAAAUGCAUGCAAUUUUUUGGUUAUCCAAACCUAGCCGAUUCAUAUUCUAUCUCAUAUUAGCCCAUAUUUUCCUUUAUUUCACCUUUCUACUAUUCAUUUUUACACCUUUUUUCAAACAAGUCCUUUUUAGGUGUUUCCACUAAAAAUCACUUAGCAAAAGUUGUUUAUCACACAUCAAAUAAACAUCAAAAUAAAACCAUGUUACACAUGGGUCAAAUUUCAUGCAUGAACCCUAGCUCAAAAUAAUGGUAGGAAUGGGUAGAUCAUAAAAAAGGGGCUAGGGAGCACUUACAAUCAAUCUUGAAAAGUUGAAAACCCUAGCUAUGGAACCCUUGUAAAAUUUGGCUAUGGCUUGAAGAAGAUGGACAAUAUUUUCACUUCAUUUUCCCUUUUUAUUCUUUUAUUUACCAAAUGACAAAAAUGCCAUUAAGGCCUUUCUUUCAAAAUUUUCCUAUUCAUGCCCAUUUUUGUCCCAUUUUUUUAGCAUUUGGUCUAAUUUCUAUUUAAUGACCACUAAUUAAUAAUCCAAUGAAAUUUCAUGCUUAAAGCUUCUAUAACACAAGUUUUGUAACUUAUUCACUUUAGCCCCUAAAGUCAAAUUAGACAUCUUAGGCAUAGAAUUUAUUUAUGAAAAUUUCACACAAGCAUGCAAUCAUAUCAUGGACCAUCAAAUAAUCAUAAAAUAAUCAUUUCUAUUUCGAAUUUGUAGUCUCAAAACCACUAUCCUGACUAGACCUUGAUUCAGGAUGUUACAGCAAAUGUUUCAUUUGGUGAUGAAAAUUGAACAAAUAACUCAAGAUAGGGUGAUCCACUAGUAAGAUGAGUCUGCACCAUCACCACAAAGCUACAACUACCUUUGAUAUCAAAUGAGUCAUAUGUCACGGGAUCAAUUGAAGCACAAAAUCAAUACUUAAUAGAAGAAACCCUACUUGGCGUUGUUCCAAAGAUUUUGCACCUAAUUCUUUUACGAAAUUCUAUAAAAUCUAUACUCUAGUUAAAAACUAUUCGAGUUGUGUUCUCUGAUAAAAAAAACAACGCCGUUCUCAAUGUCAUGGACCUCACCAUCAUAGUAAAUAAUAGCAAUAAUACGUUCACUCAUCUUUAAUCUCUAUUCUUCUUAGCCUUUCUAAUUUUUCUUGCCGUAGCUUAUGCAACCUAAGAAUGAAAUUUUCCUCAUUUAUAGCCUAAGGCCAAACAUGAACUACUGUAGAAACAGAGCGCCCACGUGGGAGCUUUUUUCAGAAACUUUGCUGACAUUCCAUCCUGCUUGAAGCGUUUUUGACACUAUUUGUUCUUCUCAAAAUUAUUUUUUCAGAAACUAUUGUAGAAAAAUAGCAUCUACGUGGGAGCUUUUUCCAGUAAUUUUUCACAUAGUGCAUCCUACUUGAAGCAUUUCUGACACUAGUUGUUCAUAAACGUCUUCUCAAAAUUACUUUUACUGGGUAAAAAUAGUUAAUUUUGUUAAAAAAAUAAACACGAUAUUCUUUUUAAAAAAACUAAACCCUAAUUUAAUUAAUUUUAACCCUAAACCCUAAUUUAAUUUAUUUAUUUAAAACCUUUAAACCCUAAUUUACUUAAUUUAUUUAAAAUCAUAAACCCUAAUUUAAUUAAUUUCUAUAAAAUAGCAUUAAAUCCUGAUUUAUUUUUAAAAUCCACUAAAACCUUAAACCCUAACUUAUUUUAACAAAAACCUAAAACCUAAACCUAAAUUAUUUUAGGAAAACCCUAAACCUAAAAACCCUAGGGACUAAACAUGCAAAAAUCUGUAACCUAUAAAAAACACAGAGCAAAAUGAGCCAUAGGGGGAGUGUUUUUGCCACGUCAGCAAAGUGUGUCCACGUCAACGUAUUUUGUGCUGACAUGGCAAAAACGCUCCCCCAGGGGCGCGAUUUUCUGGAAAUUUCCCCCUAAAAUGCUCCUAUGUAGACGUGUUUUGCCAAAAUCGGCCCUUUCCAGUAAAUAAUGUUGAAAUCAAUCCAUUUCCGUAAAUAUACUUAGAAAUAGGCCUUUUUAGGUAAAUUAAUAGUUUUAUUUUAUUUUAUUUAAAAUUGAGUAUAGGUUACAUAGAAAGUAUAAGUGAAAUUCAAUUCUCAUAAUAUUUUUUAUUUGGUUUGGUCUCUUGUUGGAUGCCUUGAAUUAUUUUUUUGAUCUCUUUAUUUGAUGUGGUUUAUAUGAUUUUGAAUAUGGUAUUUGGUUAAAUUAAGCAUGUGAUCGCUAAGUGCUUUUUUCAUUUUAUGGUUUAUGUAUUCAUGUUGUAUAUGUGAAUUGGUUUGAUAUGAACAUUUGUCAAAUACGGUAUUCGGUUUCUCAUUCAGCAAUGAGACAAUUUUUUUUGAGUCAUUUUUAUGAACAUUUUAAAUUUAAAUAUUGGAAUAUAUAUUUUAAAAUAACUUAAUUGAAAUAAUAAGUUGUCAAAGUAACCUCUAUUAUUAAAAUUAUUUUAUUUUAAAAUAUAAAUAGUUGUGUAUAUGUAACUUAAGCUACGUUAAUAUUGAUUGGCCCAAAGGAAGGUUAAUAGUUAACAAAAUUACAUGUGCAACUAUGGUAAUAACAUAUGUGAUGAUUAUUGGGUUUUACAUGAGAGCAAUAAAUGGGCCCAAAGGAAGAUUUAUUGUUCGACGUGUUUUUAUUAUCAGUCUUUGAUUACUACAAUAAGAUAUCAGUUACAAGUUAAUAUUUCUGUCCAAAGAAGAAAUACUAAUGUAGUGCGCGAUAUCUUGAGAUGAUAUUUACUUUUAUUCAAAUUAUUAUGGUAUAAAUUUAAAAUAUUUUGAAACAAAUAAAUUCAGAUUUUGGCUUUAGGGUUUAAUUAAGAAUGUUUAAUAUUUUAAAUAGAUCAGAUGACACAAAAUGCCACCAAAGUGACCUCUUUUAAAUAGAUUAAUUUAUUUAAAAUAUCAAGAUGAUUAUAUGUUUUUGUAAUUCAUACGUUUAUUAGUUGACCCAAAGGUAAGUUAAUAUUUGACAGAAUUUCAACGACAUCUAUGGAGAUAAAUGUGUGACAAUUAUAAGGUAUUUUAUAUGACCAAUAAGUUAGUCCAAAAAUUGAUUCAUUAUUUGACAUAAUUUAUUGUCAAUGUUUGUUUGCUACGACAAAAGUAUCGCUUAUUGUUAAUAUUACUAUCCAAAGACUUGACAUUAAUGUUGUGUUUGGUAUCUUGAGAUGAGAUUAGUCACUAUUUUGAAUUUAUUAUUUACUAAUGAAUAUUGAUGUGAGCUUGUUUUUAUUAAUUUUGUUUAAUAUUUAGGUAGUUCAUUUUCUGUUGCCACAAUACCUAAUAAUAUAAAUUGUAUACCCAUGCUUAAUGAGACUAAUUUUAAGGAAUGCAAAAGACACUUACUUAUAAUGUUUGGUUGUAUGGAAAUAGACCUUACAUUAAGGGAAGAACAACUUGCACCUCUCACUGGACCCCUGAUGCUAAAAGGGAUUUUGAGAGGUGGGAUCAUUCAAACCAUAUAAGUUUAAUGAUCAUGAACACAACAUUCCAAGAGCCUUUAGGUGAACAGAAUCUGAAGAGAUUAUUCAGGCCAAGGGUUUCCUUGACAAAAUUGUGAAACGUUUUUCCAAAAAUAAUAAGGUUGAAAUGACAUCACUUCUGACUUCUUUGAUGUUUUUGAAGUAUAAGGGUUAAGGAAACGUGAGGGAGCACAUUAUGGAGAUGUUCCAUGUUGUUUUAAGACUUAAGGCACUUAAGAUCGACCUUUUUGAGGAAUUGUUUGGUCUUAUGGUUUUGGUAUCACUUACUGCACAAUUUAACCAAUUUAAAAUUAGCUACAACUAUCAAAAGGAAAAAUUGACUCUAAAUGAGCUAAUUUCUCAUUGUGUUCAAUAGGAAGAAAGGUUGAAACAUGUUAAGUUAAAAAGUGCUCAUUUGACCAAUGCCUCUAAAGAUAACUUGCAUUCUGAACAAAGUACCCACUAAAGCAGCUACAAAAACAUCUUAUGAGCUUUGGACAAGUGAAAAGCCUAGUCUAAAUCACUUUCACAUUUGGGGAUAUCAAGCUGAGGUAGGGCUUUAUAGGCCACAUGAAAAUAAAUUGGACUCUAAAAUAGUGAGAAACUACUUUAUUGGUUAUGCUGAGCGAUCUAGGGGCUAUAAGUUUUAUGAUCCUAUAAUUAGGAAUAUUUUUAAGACGAGAACUAUAGCAUUUUUUUAGGAUGUUGAGUUUGAAGAGAAAAAAAAGGUUAGAGAUAUUGCUUGAGGAGCAAUUGGAUUCCAACUCAGUUCCUGUUAUCAUUUUUGAUGAUGUUCAGGUUCUUAGACCAUCAUUGAUCAAGAAGUGAACUCAGAACCUCAACAAGACAAUAUUGAACAACUCCCUAUUCGAGAUGAGGUAAUUGUUCUAGAAGUAAAAAUUAAACAACCUCGAGAAUAAGUGCCAUGAAGGAGAUCCACAAGAGAGGAGAAAAGUUAUUGCAAACGAUUAUAUUGUUUUUCUCCAAGAACAUGAGGAUAAUAAUGGAAUGAUAGAAGAUGAUCCAAUCAACUUUCGUUAGGCUAUGAAAAGUUCUAAUUCUCAAAAGUAGAUUGAUGCUAUGGAAAAAAAGUAUAAGUCUAUACAAGACAAUAAAGUUUAGAAACUUGUCCCAUUACCUGAAUGUGCAAAACCAAAUAGCUGUAAAUGGAUAUUUAAAACCAAGAGGGAUGCAAAUGGUAAUAUUGAGAUUAUAAGACAGGUUUUAUAGCUAAAGGAUAUACUCAAAAAGAAGAUAUUGAUUUUACAGAGACUUUCUCUCCAGUUUCAUCGAAAGACUCUUUUAGGACAAUCAUGACGCUUGUUGCUCAUCUUGAUAUUGAGUUACAUAAUAUGGAUAUUAAGACUGCGUUUCUCAAUGGCGACAUUGAAGAAAGCAUUUAUAUGGUGCAACCAUAAAACUUUGAGUCAGAGACUCAAAGAAUAUGGUUCGCAAAUUAAUAAAAUGUCACACCCAAAUUUGGAUAACCUAAAUUUUAAGUGCAUAGACGAGAUGUUUGUUUUGGCGUGCUUCAGAAGUUAGUUCACCAAAUUGUAGCUUUCGACGAACUAUUGUUUCGGGAGAAUUAAGUAUUCGCUAAGGGAAGUAUAUCAAGAUUAAACCUUUGAUGUGUUCUUUAGUAAAGAAAGAAAAUGACAUAUAGGAAGAGUAAGCGUUAUGUAUGUCGCCGCCAAAGGUAUAUUACGUCAUUUUGUAUUGAGCCUUUAGUGGCUUUAGCGGCACUUUUAAAAACACUGCUAAAGAUCAAGUAUUAGCGGUGCUUUUUUAAAAACACCGCUAUAUGUACACCUUUAGCAGCGUGUUUUAGAAAACGCCGCAAAAGACUUUUGCAAAAUGUUGUCGUUUUGUAUUGAGCUUUUAGUGGCUUUAGCGGUGCUUUUAAAAAAAUGCCGCUAAAGAUCGAGUAUUAGCAGCGUUUUUUAAGAAACGCCACUAUAGGUACACCUUUAGCGGCGCUUUUUUAAAAAUGCCGCUAUAUGUACACCUUUAGCGACGUUUUUAGAAAGACGCCGGAAAAGAAUUUUGCAAAACACCAUCGUUUUGCAUUGAGCUUUUAGUGGCUUUAGCGACGCUUUUUGAAAAACGCCACAAAAAUUGAAAAAAUUAAAAUACUAUUAUUUAAAAUAAUUUUAAAGAUUUUUAGUAUAUGACUAAUUGUUUUUUAAUUUAUAUGUUAAAUAUUUUCUUAUAUAAUUGUAAAAGAGAUAGUAUUAAUUUAAAAUAUUGAAUUAAUUAUCAUUAUAGUUUAGGGUUUACGGUAUAUGGUUAAGGGUUUAAUGUUUAUGAGAUACUAUUUUAAGGUUUAUGGAUUAUGGGUUUAGGGAUUAUGGUUAAAGAGUGGUUUAACGGUUGGGGUUUAAGGUUUAGGUGUUAUGGGUUAAGGGUUAGGUGUUCAUGGUUUAGGGUUUAUGUUUUAGGAUUUAUGAUUUAGGGUUUAGGAGUUUAAGGUUUAGAUUAAUUAGUGUUUUUUAAUUUAUAUGAUAAAUAUUUUCUUAUAUAAUUAUAAAAGAUAUAGUAUUAAUUUUAAAAUAUUGAAUUAAUUAUCAUUAUAGUUUAGGGUUUAUGGUUUAGUGUGUAUGGUUUAGGGUUUAAGCUUUAAGAGUUACUAUUUUAAGGUUUAUGGAUUAUGGUUUAAGGGUUGGGGGUCAAUGGUCAGGGGUUUAUGGUUUAUGUUUUAUAAUUUAGGGUUUAUGGAGAUAUGGGUUAGGGAUAUGAGUUUAGGGUUUAUAUUAAUUAGUGUUUUUUAAUUUAUAUAUUAAAUAAUUUUUUAUAUAAUUAUAAAAGAGAUAAUAUUAAUUUUAAUAUAUUAAAAUUAUGAUUAUAGUUUAAAUUGUUUAAGAGAUAAUAGAUAAACUUUAUAUAUAUUAAAUGGUUUAAGAUUUAAGGUUUACUUGAGAUUUGUUAAAUGAUAAAAUUUUAUACGAUCAAUUAAUGCUUUUAUAUUUAAAAAUAUUUAAUCUAAACCAUUUCAUAUAUAUCUAAUAUUAGAUUAAGAAAAAAACAUUGAUAAAUAAAUAAAAAAUGUAACUGAUUGAUAUGAAUAGGUAACUAUAUAUAUUUAGGGUUUAGCGUGUAGGUUUAUUGUCUAUGAUUUAGGGUUUAUGAUCUAGGAUUUGGGGUUUGGUGUUUAGGGAUUAGGGUUUAAUUUUUAGUGUUUAGGGAUAAAUAUGGGGAUCAGGGUGCAAUUGUAUAAUGAACUUUAAUUUGAUCUAGUUCUUAUAAAUUAUUAACACAAUUAUUGAUAUAACAUCAUUUUAUAUUUAUUUAUUACAUACAUAAAUAUUUAUAUUAAUUCAAUAUAAAAAUAUAUUGAUGUAUUUAUUUUUUUAAAAUUUCUAUGAUUAAAUCAAAAAAAACUUAAAAAUUUAAUAUUUAAAAUUUUAUUCCAUUUUUUAGUUUAAAAAGAUCAAUAUUCAAAAUUAAAAAAAUUCCAAAAAAUGAUAAUCUCAACACAAAAAUUGUGAAAGGAAAAAUACAAAAAAAUAUGUUAAAAAUGAAAAGAAAAUUAAAAUUGAGUAAUAGUGACGUUUUUGGGUAAAACGCCGUAAAAAGUUGAGCUAUAAUAGCGUUUUUAGUAAAAAUGCCGUAAAAAAUUAAGCUAUAGUGGCGUUUUCACAAAAAAUCCGAGAAUUACCAGCGUGUUUUUAGAAAACAUCGCAAAAGGCCAUUAUUUUUUUAUAAAAAAGGCAAAAUCCCGCUCACUCCCAAAAAUUAUUUUUUAUUACCCGCUCGUUAACCAAAUCCCCCAAAUAAAAGUUUGUACUUAUUUCUUUUACCCUUUUACUCUCAAAAUUUGCCCCCAAAUUCUUUUUCCUUUUCAUUUCACUACACUGAACUCACCCACCAUAGCUACUCCUUUUCCCUCGAUUUGUUAGGGUUUUGGAGAAACAAAUGGAAGUUGAAGAGAAGAAGAAGAAGAAGAAGAAGAAGAAGAAGAGGGGGGAGGAGGAAGAAGAAGAGAGUGAAGAUGAAGGAACUAAAAAGGUCAAAUGUAGUAGUAGAAAGGGAAGUUCUAGGAAAUCUGGUCGAGAUUCAGCUGAGAAGAAAGAGCCAGUGACGCUUAGUAGUGAUAGGCCUACAAGGGAAAGGAAAGUCGUAGAAAGGUUUUCAGAUCCUCUUGUUGCAAGGUCUUCCUCGUUUAAAACUGUCAAUUGGAAAGGUAUGCUUUCUUUUCUGGGGUUAAGGCAUGGGUUCAUCACCUGCACCACUUCCGUCCAACGAUGGUACUGCCAUUGAUCAAGGAGUUGCUUACAUUCUCCUUUUGCUUGCUCUAGCGAUUACCUAUCUCAUCCAUUGAUGAUCUUUUUUUAUAUUUUAUUUUUAUUGGUAUAUGAGCUAUAAAUGAUUUUUUUAUGUAUUUUCUCCAUAUAUCUAGUGAGAGAAAUUGCAACAAUUUUGUAAUUUUCUUCUCUCCUAUCUUUGUGUUGUAAAUCUAUGCAGCAAAUAAAUCCAGUUGAGAAUUUGAGAUCACAUAAUCAUUAUAUAUAUAUUUUUUUGCUCAUUGUGAAAUUUGGAAUAUAUUUAGAUUCAUAUGACCAAAUCGAUAGAUCAAACCGUUUUUAGUUUUCUUUUUUUAGGGAUUUGGAGGAAGAUUAGUAUUGCUUCAAUUUUUUCCCUAAUGCCAAAAUAAGUCUUUUUUUUUUUGAAAUUAUUGGGUUGACUUUCAAUUGUAUGAUAUUUUGACUCUCAAGAUUCUCUUGGAUGAUAGAUAGAUUCAUGUGAUACUUUUUCUUUGAAAUAAUAUUGUUCAUGGUCAUUGAACUUUGUUGUUACUGCAUGGCCUGCACUAUUUAUUUCUGAUGCUGUAACUCAUUUCAGUGGCUUUCAAGUUGUCAAAGAAAGCAAAGGUGAUUGAGGGUUAUAUUGUCUUCUUGUUCCAUGAUGUGUUUUUUAUGUAUUUACUGUAUUACAGAAUAAAUGGUGCAUAACGCAGGAUAAGUGGAUUAAUGGUGUAAUUGGUGAAGCUCGAGCGCGCAAUGCAGGUAAAAAACCAUUGCUUCUGAAAUUGAGGUUAUGGAAAGAAACUAAACUUGUAAUAAAUAACAUAAAAAUUGGAUAAUUUUUGUAUUUGAUCUUCCUUAUUAAGGUGUUAUUUCCUUCAUUGAACUCAAUCAUAAAUUCAUGAUCUAGGCUCAACAGCUAGAACUUCAGGGCCAUCAGCAGGUUCAGGUUCAAAUACAACUUCUCUGCGCUGGGAUCUGCACACAAUACAAUUUUCUGUCAAUGCUUGGGUAUACUACCCCCCACCAUCCCAUUUCUUUCUCCCAUGUGAACAUAUUUGUAUAUUAGCGGAUAAUUCUUGCCUUCUUAUCCCUCUUUUUUGUUUUUAAAUGAGUAAAGAGUGCAUUUUAUUUCCCUCUUUAUUCUUGCAUCUGCCAUAGAGAGACCACCUUGUUGAGGAGCUGAUUGGCUAUUAAUGUAUAAUUACAUUUAUAAGAUGUAAUAUUUAGCCAGUUGCUAGUCUUGUAACUUGGGCCAUUUUUUACUUCAUGUACAUAUUUUUGUUAGGUUCUUUUUUCCUUACUUUUGUUUUUUAUCUUGCAGGUUUUUAUUGUGGCUGUGCUUGCCAUCUUUCCACUUGUCCCUAAAAGUCUUUCAAAAAGGGCUUAUCGGCUUUCAUUUAUGGGCACUGCUUGUUCUUCUGUAUACUCUUUGUAUGCACUAUAUGGGGUAAACAUAUUUCUACUGACUUGUCAUACAUUUGGUAAAUAUAUGAUAGUUUUAUGGAUAAGGAAAGUGCCUGUUUGGGUGGCUGGGUUACAUUGUUUCUUUACCUUCUUUUUUUUGGGGGGGGUUAUCUGUUUUAGUUUCUUUUGUUUUGAGAGAGUCCAGGCCUUGUUUUAAUUUUAAUAAUAAUCCAACCAUUCUUUUUUUCAAAAAAAAUAUAUAUAUGAUAGUUUUUUUGUUGAACCUAUUCUAUAUGUUAUGCAGAGGCCAAGAGCAUGGACUUUACAAGUUGUUCAAGUGUAUUUUCAAUCAGUAAUUGCAACCAAACAUUUUAUCUACUUUAUCUAUUGCCUUACAUUUGUCACUUCACAUCUUUGCCUUAACUGUAAGCAUUCUUCUGCUCAUAAACACUUUUUACAUUUUUGCUCCUGAAUUCUCUUUAUUAUUAUGUAGUAUGAUGAAUUGAUAUGGACCUUCACUGCAGUUGCUUUGAUUUCCAUUUUAUGCCGAUCACUCGAACGCAUUGCAAAGUUCUUGAGGCAUAAUUUUAGUCGUUCUGCCUUGUACAGGUAGACCUUUAUUCAGAUAAACUAUCUUCUAUAUUACAGUGUUCUGGUUUAGUUUUUUUUUAUUUAAUCUUGUGAUCAGACUAUAAUGUUCACUACAAGAAAUUGAGUUAAAUUUGCUGGGUGAUAUUUCCUUAUAUGAAAUGGCAUAAAGUUCAGAUGGAUGGAAAUUGUGUUAUUAUCUGAAAAGGCACAGUAAGGAGGAUUAUACACUCAACUUUUACUGAAAGGGUUAGUGCUAAUAAACAAAAAAAAUGUACUUCGUGAAUGUUAAUUCUACUUAUCCUUUUUUUUCACUUUAACCAAUUCCUUAGAUGUAUUCUCUCAAAAAAAAUCCCCAGAUGUUUAUUACUUCAAUUUAUUUUAUGACAUUCAUUUUGAUGUCGCCUCAAACCUAGAUGAAAUGAAAUGCUUGCGUCAUGCAUGUGCAUGUGUAACCUCGAGGGUUUAUUGAACAGGAAGUAUUUGGAAGAUCAUUAUGUAUGGGUAGAAUCAAACACCACCACCCUGAGCAUUCUAUCAUCAUAUGCUGAGAUUGGACUUGGCGGGCUUCUACUUGUUUCCUUGUUCUUGCCAGUUGCGAAUAUCUUUUUUCUCUUUUUGGUUUAUAGUUCCCUCUAAGCUUAUACAUUCCAUGACCUCUAGCUUUUCUAAUUUGCUGAAAUUUUCUAUUAAAUUUUGUAGGUGGCAAUGCAACAUUGUACAAACUUUUAUGUACUGGUAAGUCUGUAACACUACUUCUUACUUUUCAUGUAUUUACCUUUCUGUUUAUUAGUGAUUCUUUGGAUGGCAAUGGCAUGAUAGGUGGGUUCAGUACCUAGUUUGGUUAUUACCAAAAAACUAGUAUUGGAGCCCAUGACUUAUCAGUUAGAUACUUAUUGAUCCUUUGGUCUUUGUUUAUAUAUUAAUGAAUGUGUUCUGCUUGUGCUGUAUGCUUUUUAUGCAUCUUAUUAUUUAGGAAUUAAUUUUUUUCCCUGUAAAAAUAAAAAGAGUUGAAAUACGAGUUAUUAGUUCUCUCUUUUUCCAUUUUUAGUUUUAAAUGAUUUUGAAUAUAAAGUUUCUUGAACUUGUUUAUAUUAUUUUCUUUGCAUAUAAAGAUUGGUAUUUGAUGUUUCUUCUUGGAUUGAUCUUCAGAUAUGUCCUUUCCCUUCCUAGUGCUUCUGUCCCCAUUUUUCUCUCUUGCAUUUCUCGUAUCAAUGAUAUGUUCAACUUCAUAUAGAUCAUGGAGUUGUUACUUCAUUGAUGCAAACAAUGCUUUUAGUAAUUUUAUAGGGAAAAAUAUUAAAUACGAAAUAGUUUUGUAUAGAAAAAUCUUUCUCAACAUCGAAUACAUUUCAAACGGUCUAAACCCUUUGUGCUUUGCUUUUAUCCACUGUCUGACAGCUGUUGAAGCUUAUGUACCAUGCUCCUGUUAGUGCUAGUUACCACCAAAGUGUGUGGGCAAAGAUCGGGAGGACUAUUAAUCCACUUAUCCUGCGUUAUGCACCAUUUUUGAUAAUCUCGUAAUCUUCUUCUACGCAUUUUGGUAAUUCCAUGUUUCAUUUGAGUUAUUGAUUACAAUUGUGAUUGUUUGCUACAGGGUUUUGGUUUUGAUUUUAAACCUUAUGUCCACCCAAUCUAUAAUGCAAUAAUGUCCCUCUUGACUAACCAAGAUCAAGAUCAAGUAAGGAGAGUUUAAUUAGUUUUCCCCCUCCUGUCAUAUUUCUUCUGAGAUGGAUUUAAUGUUUUUUUACGUAUGGGAUAUGUUUAGGUCAAUUUCCAAAGGUAAAUUCAUUGAUUAUAUACAUAAAUUUUGAUUACAUGAUUAAUUACAUGAUCAAUGACUUUUGUUGAAACAAAUUUUGAUUAAAAGAGAUCAGAUAGUGUGCUUUGACAUAUGUGGCUUUGAGAGUCGUAUAGAUUUCCUCACUGGCUUAACUUUGGCUUACAGGUGCAUACUUUGGCUUUCUAUUCCGGUGUUUUGGAUUCUCUGGCAAUUGAAUUGAAAGCAUCAAAUGACUUUUCUAAGUUAUAUGCAGGCAUUGCAAUACUUUGGCUUCAUCUAAGCUUGAACCAGCCCUGUGUUGUAUAUUGUUUCUUCAUUUUUUCAGAUCUUUUUCCUUUGAUUAAUGAGAGGUGAUGAUUAUUUGGCAUUCUUUUCUCACUAGGAUGAAUUUUGUUUUAGAAAUUGUAAUACAUUGUGAGUGUGUUUGUGUUUUUUUUUAUGUAUUAAAUUACAUAUUGAAUCAAUUUUUAUGUAUUAAAUUUAAAUUUAUUUAUUUUUAUAUUUAGUUUUGAAGUUUAAAUUUUAAUAGAAAAUUUAAUUUAAUUAAUAUUUUUUAUUUAUCCUUAAAAGUAUAUAGUCUAAAGUUCAAAUUCAAAAAUUAAACAUAAUAUAAUUUUUAUCAUAGAAAUAAAUAUUAUUUAAUUAAAAUAAAAUAUUUUUUUAAAGGUCAUGUUUUUCAGCGGCGUUUGUGAGAAAAGCGUCACUAAAGGAGAACCUCAAAUCAAGGGAUGUACCUUCUAUAAUCAAUAUAGGUCAAAAGAACAGGUUCAAGGAAACGGACAAACAAAAGAAGGUGGAGUGGCACAAUGGGUGAUGGACUAAUUCUGAAAGAACCAAAUGAGCGCCGACAUUAAUGGAGCUGUUGGAUGAAUCUAGCAGUAAAACUUGAUAAUUUGAAUCAAUAUUUAAUUUUUUUGGUAAAUUAUUGUAUAUCUAACUAGCUAUUUAGUCUAGGUUCUAAUUUUUUUUAUCAAUUCUAUGUUUUACAGGAAUCGUGACACUCUAGAAAUUGGAAGUUCGGGCAAAAAUAGAACCAAUAUUGCAACACGACAACCCCGUGUUGUAACACCAAGGCCAAAAUUGAAGGAAUCUAGAAAACUAACUCGUUGUCAUUGUCGAAACCUCUUUUUUUAAAAAGGGGUAUUUUGAAAACGGGAGUCGCCACCAACCUUUUUAGGUGUGAUUGGAUCACCUUAUAAAACAUUUUGGUCUACGAAAAUAUGAGAAGAUGGGCUCGGGAGUCGAUUACGUGCAAGGAAGGAUUAGCACCCUUGCAACGCCCAAAAUUGGUACCAAAUUAUUUUCUGUCUUGAUGUCAAAAAGUUUGAAGGAAUUUAGAAAUAAGAUCCCUUUUUUAAGCUAUAAUAAUUUGCUGAAAAUCGAGGUUCUUUCGCUCCAAAAGAGUACAAACAUCACAUCCAGCAUGAUUGGACACGAUAUUCUUAGUCUUUCGAAAUUGAAAUUAUCUCGUGAUUUACUAAAUCUAUUUAGGAGGAUACUUUAGACAUUUAGACAGACGAGAAAUCGCAACCCAGCAUGUUAGGGCACUACUUCCCGAAUUCCUAAAUACCAAAAACAUUGCCUCUCUUUUUUAAAAGUAUUUUGGAUUGAAUAAGAUAUAAAAGUUCUUUAAAGUGAUGAUGCAUUCAACUUAUUACAAAGGAUCAAUAUUAAACAAAUUAACCUACAUGAUACCUACUUUAUCAUUCCAUGCAAAUAUAAAAAUAAUAAAUAAUGACAUAAAUUACAUAAUAUACAUUAUCACUUUAUGCAUAUAUAAUUAUAAAUAACAUAAAUAUAAACACAUUAUUAUUUCAUGCAAAAAAUACAAAAUAGCAAAAUAAUGAAUAUAACAAUAUAAAUUACACACAUAUAUAAUAGUAUUUCACGUGAAUAUAAUUUUUAAAUAACAACAUAAAUAAUCAAUUCUCAUACGAAUAUAUAAUAAUAAAAUAACAUAAAGAUAACAAAUAAUCUAUGAGAUAAAAUUAACAUGUUAAAAGAAUACCUAAUAAAUACAAAAAGUAUAAAAACAAAAUAUAAAAAAAAGAUAUUUUAAGCAAUAUAUAAGUAAUAAAAGAGAAAUUUUUUUAAAAAUAAUAAAAAUAUAUUAUAUGAUAUAAUAGCUUAAUAUACUUAUAAAAAUAAUAAUAUGUUAAAUUGGAACAAAAUUUUGUAGUAAAUUUUAAAACAUUAGACAUAAUAUAUAUAAUAACAAUAUAUGUGUUAGUUUAUAAUAAUUUACAAAUUUUAAUUUUUAUAUACUAAUAAAUAAUAAAUAAUGAAAUAAUAUAUAAUAAAAGGAAGAUAUUAUAGGGAAUAAUAUAUAAUAAAAUAUGAUAUAUAAUAAAAUAUAUAAAUAAAAUAUAAUGAAAUAUAAAUAAUAUGAUAAAAUAUCAUAUAAAUAAAAAUAAUAUAUACUAUUUUUAUAUAUAAUUAAAAAAAUAAAUAAUAAAUUAAAUAUAUAAAAGGGAUUAAAAUUGAAUUUAAUUAAAAAUCUAGGGCUAAUUUACAAAUAAAUAAAAAUUUCGGGCCUAAUUGAAAUGCGUACCAAAAUUUGAGGGACUCACUGGGCAAUUAGCCCUAACCCCAAAAACGAAGUCGUACUCAGAACAGGUCUUAUAAUGGCUAUUGGGACCAAAUUGCAAUAAAUGCAAAAGAUUAGGGCCAAAUCAAAAUAAAAAUAAAAUGAAUUUUAAAAACAUGAAAAUGCGGGAGGAUCAAUUGGGCAAUUAGCCCUUUAAACAAAAACGAGCGGAUCCUACCCGGAUCUCGGGUCAACGCGCAGAUCCUAACUUUGAAACGACGCCGUUUUAAAGCUUAUUGUUUUAAGCAAAAACGACACCGUUUUCAUAAGGCUAUAUAAGCCAAAUUUUAACCUAAAAUUUCAUUUUAAAAUCGAUUCUAAAAAAAAAGAAAAAAAUCUCUAAAGGAGGGUCGGGGUCCGGCCCUCGGAGCUCUGUCGAGCCUCCGUCCUAAGGCUUACACGCGCCUACGCGCUACAGUCAACACCGCCUCUUACGGACGUCGGAAGCUAGAAAGCUUCGUUUCUUAGCGCAAAUCCCUCGGUAAGUUCCCCUUCUUUAUAUUCUUAGCAAUAUUUAUAUGUAUUCGCAACGAAAAUAAAAAAAACAAAGUAAAAGUAAAUCACCUCUGUUUCUUGAUUUUUAUUGUAUGUAUGCCUGUUAAAAAACCUCGUAUCCUUGACAAACUACUUUAUUUUAUUGUGUAUAUGAAAAUCUGUGUUUACAAAUUAGAAAAAAGGGGUUUUUAUAACCCUCUAUUACAUUUUGGGGAAAGAAUCCUUUGAUUUCUUUCCAAGUUUGCUUCUUUUGCUGCUGUGGUUCUUUCCUUCUUUUGCAGAUAUCAGCGAGGAUCUCACGGCAAUGAGUGCUAGUGUUGAUUUGUGCGCUGAUUGCGGCGUGAUACAAGGCCGGAGUCACGGCGCCGGUGGAGACGUUGAUGGAAAGUCACUGGAACGACGCGAAACGAAAAGGCGCGUCGGUUAGAGUGCUUGCGACGCCUAGGGUUUCUAAAACCCUUGGUCAUCUGUCUUCCGUUAACAAAUUGGGCCACUUAGGCCCUGUGUAUUUUGGGCAACAUUUGGUCUCUAGUACGGGCUUGGGUGUAAUUGGGCAUUAGGUAAUUUAGGUAUUUGGGCUAGGUAAACGGGCUAGCAGUUUUGGGUUUUGUAAAAGGAUUGUAAAACUUUAUUAUUUUUUUUGUUUUUUUUUAUUUAUUUAUUUUACGGGCCCGGGUGAAUUUAGGCUAUUACAGCUGCCCCUCUUUGCUUAUUACUGUGUAACGGGAAUAGAGCAAAGAUUAUAAAAAGACCAAAUUUGCCCGACCUGGCCAAGUCUCGAAAUCUUGAUCCUCAUCUUCCUCAAAGGUAUUCUGAUAGCUUCAAACUUGCUUCACCGUAACUCAAGAAAGUCAAAUCUGCUAUCUUCAACCUGCUUCCUAUCAAUAUAGAGACGCCAAGCCGAAAUGUUCGAUCUACUCUCUGACAAUACAGAGACGCCGAAUCCGCUACCCUCGAUCUGCUCUCUGACAAUACAGAGGCACCAAAUCUACCAUCUUCGACCUGCUAUCUCACAAUACAGAGAUGCCAAAUCUGCUAUCUUCGAUCUGCUCUUUGACAAUACAGGGACGCCAAAUCUACUAUCUACGAUCUGCUCUCUGACAAUACAGGGAUGCCAAAUCUACUAUCUUUGAUCCGCUUCCUGACAAUACAGAGAUGCCAAAUCUGCUAUCUUCGAUCUGCUCUCUGACAAUACAGGGACGCCAAAUUUGCUAUCGGUGAUCUACAUUGUCCAUUAAAGGACAUAACCUGUAGAAUGCAUAUGUACUCAUGCCCGAUGAUUAAGAUGCGAUGCUCGACAUGAAUCAAAUGCUCCUAAUUAUGCAAAAUGUUAUGAAAAUGAUUCCUAUUUCGGACGUCUUUACUCGUUCAUCCAUCAAAGUUCCACCUUUAUUUUACUCCAAGUAUCAAUCAUACUCCGCUCAUGUGUUUUGAAUCAAAUUGGUCCUAUUAUACCAUUCUCCGAACGUUACGAUCUGCUGAAGGCGAUCCUCUCCUACGAUUGAAUCGUUUGAAUUGUCCAAUUAUUCUUUGAACUGGAGAAAUUUUCUUGAAUACCUCUGACCCUUACUCAUGGGAAUUUCUUCAAACAAUUGUUUUGUUUUAGUUUCUUGUAUUCUCUAGAGAUUUCCAGAGUAAUAUGCAAAACUUCAUUUGUAAAAAUAUUUAAUUCAUCAAUCAUUAUUUCAAUGCAACACACUUUAUAAUGGAAGACAAAUAAUUUAAUCUUGAGAAUAGUUAGAUAAAUCAUCAGAAUAUAAUAGGAAAUUAAUCUGAAAAUAUAUCUUUGAGAAGAAAAAUAAUCCAAAGAUAAAAAACAGAACAAAAAUUUGAUGUCUAACAUAUCACAGCUUGGGCUUCUGUGUACAAAUUCCAUGAAGACUAUUUUGAGUUUAACAUAUGUUUAGAGGAUCCAAAGUAUUUUGUUGAUGCCCCGAUAUGUAACACACUCCAUUUCUCGUCAAAUCCGAUAUAACAAAGUCACCGCCUGUUUCUCAAAUAUUUGAGCAGCCCUUUUCGGGUUUUCAACUCAAAACCCCUUUGGUCUCAAGGCGCCCUUUGCGGGUUUUCACCUUGGCCUCUCCAUUUUUUUUCUUUCUUGUUUUUUUUGAAGUCUCAAAGCGCCCUUUGUGGGUUUUCACCUAGUCUUCCCUUCUCUUUAGACAAAGUACUUCUUGACUGAGUCUAAAUUCACUGGAUUAGGUAAACUUUUCCCAUCCAUUUCUGUCAAAAUCAAAGCACCACCAGAGAAAGCCUUCUUCACAACAUACGGCCCUUCCCAAUUCUGCAUCCAUUUUCCUCUAAAGUCCUUCUGUAUGGGAAGUAUCUUUUUCAGCACAAGGUCCCCUUCGUGAAAUUCUCUUGGACGAACUUUCUUAUCAUAAGCUCGCAUCAUUCGCUUCUGAUACAUCUGACCAUGACGAAUAGCCCUUAGCCUCUUUUCUUCAAUCAAGUUCAAUUGGUCAUACCGCGAUUGAAUCCAUUCUGCUUCAUCCAGUUUUAUCUCUGACAAAAUUUGAAGAGAAGGUAUUUCCACUUCAAUAGGUAACACUACCUCCAUCCCAUAAACCAAUGGGAAAGGAGUUGCCCCAGUAGAGGUUCUGACGGACGUUCGAUAGGCAAAGAGUGCAAAUGGUAAUUUCUCAUGCAAAUCUCUGUAGGUCUCAGUCAUUUUCCCCACUAUCUUCUUGCUAUUUUUAUUAGCAGCUUCCACCACCCCAUUCAUUUUUGGGCGAUAUGGAGAUGAAUUAUGAUGUUUGAUCUUGAAUUGGCUACAAACUUCCGCAAUCAUGUUGUUAUUCAAGUUUAAUGCAUUAUUCGAUAUAAUCCUCUUAGGCAUUCCAUAUCGACAAAUAAUCUCCUUUUUCAAGAAACGACUUACUGCCGACUUGGUAACACUAGCAUAUGAAGCUGCCUCUACCCAUUUUGUGAAGUAGUCAAUUACCACGAAAAUGAAACGAUGCCCAUUCAAAGCUUUUGGUGAUAUUGGCCCAAUGACAUCCAUGCCUCACAUGGAAAAGGGCCAUGGAGAAGUCAUAACAUGGAAGGGUGAAGGUGGUACAUGGAUCUUGUCUCCAUAUAUCUGGCAUUUAUGACAUUUCUUAGCAUAACUGAUACAAUCUCCUUCCAUAGUAGACCAAUAGUAUCCAAACCUCAUGAUUUGUCUUGCCAUCGUAAAGCCAUUAGCAUGUGCACCACAAACUCCUUCAUGUACUUCUUCCAGGAUUUGUCUAGCUUCUACAGCAUCAACGCAUCUCAAAAGUACCUGAUCUUUCCUUCUUUUAUAAAGGAUAUCCCCAUCUAGUACAUAUUCACAGGCUAACCUUGUCAAAGUUCUUUUGUCAUUCUCAGUUGUCUGUUCAGGAUAUUCACGAUUUCUCACAUACCGUAAUAUAUCUUGAUACUAAGGAUGGUCAUCCUUUUCUUCUUCUUCGAUGUUACAGAAAUGAGUUGGAACGUCAUAAAUGCUUAUCUGAAUUGGUCUCACAUCCUUUUGUUUAUUAACUUUAAUUAUGGAAGCCAAUGUUGCCAAAGCGUCCGCCAUCUGAUAUUCGUCCCGUAGGAGAUAAUUGAAAGUGACGUUAUCAAACUCUUCAAGUAACUCCAAAACUAUCUUUUGAUAAUUAAUCAACUUGGGGUCCCUUGUCUCCCAUUCACCCCUAAGCUGGUAUAUUACCAACGCAGAGUCUCCAUAUACUUCCAGGGUUCUAAUUUUUUGCUCUUUGGCCGCUCAGAUCCCCAUGAUGCAUGCUUCAUACUCAGCCAUAUUGUUCGUACAGUCAAAAUCCAAUUUACAUGUAAAUGGAUAAUAAUCACCAUUUGGGGAUACCAAGACUGCCCCAAUUCCAUUUCCUACUGCAUUGGAUGUGCCGUCAAAGUUCAGCUUCCAUGGACGUUCUUCAAUAGUUGCCAUGUACAUCAACUCCUUAUUAGGGAAAUCAAGGCUUAAUGGUUCAUAAUCUUCUAAAGCUUUGCUAGCCAGAAAUUCUGCUAUUGCGCUUCCUUUUAUAGCCUUUUGACUCACAUAGACUAUAUCAAAUUCUGAAAGCAAUAUUUGCCACCUUGCCAUUCUUCCAUUUAGGGCUGUUGACUCCAUCAUGUACUUUAACGGAUCAAGUUUUGAAAUUAGCCAUGUCGUAUGAUAUAGCAUAUAUUGUCUCAACCUUCGAGUCAUCCAAAUCAAAGCGCAACACAACUUUUCAAUUGGCGAAUAUCUCAUUUCACACUCAGUGAAUUUCUAACUGAGGUAAUAUAUCGCUUUCUCCUUUCUUCCUGAUUCGUCAUGUUGACCAAGUACACAUCCCAUAGAAUUACUAAACAUCGAUAAGUACAGAAUUAAUUGUUUAUCUGGACUCAGUGGAGAUAGUACUGGAGCGUUUAGCAAGUAUUGUUUGACUUUAUCAAAGGCAUUCUGGCAUUCCUUAUCCCAAGUCCCUUAGUUGUGUUUUCUAAGGAGGCGAAAUAUAGGAUCGUAUUUCUCAGUUAAUUGUGAAAUAAAUCGAGCAAUAUAAUUCAACCUUCCAAGAAAACCCCGAACUUCCUUCUGAGUGCGUGGUGGAGGCAAUUCUCGUAUGGCUCUAACUUUGUCUGAGUCAACUUCUAUUCCCUUUUCACUGACCACAAAGCCCAAUAACUUCCCUGACCUAGCUCCGAAGAUGCACUUCGCCGGAUUAAGCUUCAACUGAAACUUCCCUAAACUCAGGAACAACUUCUUCAAGACUUCAACAUGAUCCCUUUCUGUUCAAGAUUUAGCAAUCAUGUCAUCAACAUACACCUCAAUCUCCUUGUGCAUCAUAUCGUGAAAUAAGGUUACCAUGGCCCUUUAGUAUGUUGCCCCUGCAUUCUUUAGCCCGAAAGGCAUUACCUUGUAACAAAAGGUGCCCCACAAUGUUAUAAAGGUGGUUUUAUCCAUGUCCUCAGAAUUCAUCUUUAUCUAAUUGUACCCUGAGAAGCCAUCCAUAAAGGAGAACAAUGAAUAUCCCAUUGUAUUGUCCACCAAAGUGUCAAUGUGCGGUAAAGGAAAGUUGUCCUUUGGGCUAGCUUUGUUCAGAUCUCUAUAAUCAACACACAUUCGUACCUUCCCAUCCUUCUUAGGGACAGGCACAAUGUUAGCCACCCAUUCUGAAUACUUAACCUCUUGUAGGAAUCCAUCAUCAAAUUGUUUCUUGACUUUAUUUUUUAUUUUCAGCACAAUAUCAGGCCUCAUCCUUCGUAAUUUUUGUUGGACUGGUUUGUAAUCUUGUCUUAUGAGGAGACGAUGUACCAUGAUAUCAGUAUUCAAACCUGGCAUAUCCUCGUAUGACCAUGCAAAGAUAUUUUUGAAUUCAAGUAGUAGCUCAACAAGACCUUGUCUCAUUUCCUUUGCAAUAUGUGUCCCUAUUUUCACCUCUUUUCCUUCUUCCAAGACUACAUUCUCUAUUGCCUCUUUCUCAUGGGUAGGAUUUUUUUCUCCUCUUGUUUCACCAUUCUCAACAGAUCUGGAGACACGUCACAAUCCCUGUCAUAUUCAAAAUCCUGAGGUUCUUCUAAACACAUGCCUUGCUCAAAAGAGAAUUCAGGAUUUGUAGUAUCAGUUCUCAUGUCAUUAAUAUCUAAGGACCUGUGGGGUACGAAAGAAUAUACAAAGAAUGAAUGAAUUCUAAGAAUGUUUAUGUAUUAUGUAAGAAUUUAAAGAGGUCAAAAGAAUAUUGAACGGUAUAAAAGAAUAUUCACUUGAAUCGAUAACAAAAAGUUGCAUUUUAUUGAAAUGCAAAUAUCCGAACGUGAGCCUAUUUUACAAAUGAAAUCUUACUACUCCUAGGCUUUAGAGCAAUAAGAGUGCUCUGAAAAUUACUCUGAAAAAUCUUUAAAAACUACAAGAAGUUCUUUUGCAACCCAAUUGUUUAAAGUGCUUCCCGUUUCAUAAGGGCAAAUGCCUUCAAGGUUUCCUCAUUUAGACUCUUCAUCAUGCACAGCAUUGAUAUGAUAACCUCCUUUUUCGAGCAUUCCUCUCUCAGGGUGAAUCAUCCCUCCUAAUAUAAAAGUUUGAGAUAUAUGGGAGAAUGUCAUCAGUUCCCACUCUACUUCUCUUCCAUUUAAACGCGCCCUUCUUCUUUCUUGGCGCUUCUCUAUUUCUUUCCUCAUCUGCUUGUAAUCUGGCCUGAAACCCAGGCCCAAACGGUUUCUCUUCUCCUUUAGUUUAGGACCUUGAAUCCCUCCUUGGAGAUAUCUUCCCAACCCUUUUCCUGGCAUGGCUCCUUUCCCCACUGUCAUCUGCAAACCCAUUCUUGUGGUUCUGGAUAUCCUAGGCACUGGCACCUCAUUCCCCUCUGAAAUGAAUGUUGCAUUAAUGAAUUCUAAGGAACGAAAAGACCACUCAAUGGCCUCCUCGUUUGCUUCUACAUAGGGUACAUCACUGGAAACUGUCGCUAUAAUGUCCUCCUCCGCAUUUAUAGUGACCAGCCAUCCAUCGGCUACUAACUUCAAUUUUUGGUGCAAAGAUGAGGGCACUACUCCUGCCGAAUGUAUCCAAGGCCUCCCCAUCAGGCAAUUGUAAGAGGUCUUAAUGUCCAUCACUAAAAAGUCCACCUCAUAAGUGUUUGGCCCAAUCAUCAAAGGAAUAUCAAUUCUUCCCAUGACCUUUCUCUCUGUACCAUCGAAUGCUCUCACUACAUUAUGGCAUGUUUUCAUGUGAGAACUGUCUAUGGGUAAUCUAUUCAAUGUAGAUAAUGGUAGGACAUUUAAGACUGAUCCAUUAUCAAUAAGCACACUCGGCAAUGUAUACCCCUUACAACGAGUGGUGAUGUGUAAAGCUUUUGCUGAUCCCAUACCACCAGGUGGGAUUUCAUCAUCGUUGAAAUAGAUGAAAUUGUCAGCACUUAUGUUACUAACCAAUCGAUCCAAUUUAUUGACAGAUAUAUUAUUAGUAACGUAAGUCUCAUUGAGCACCUUCAUUAAUGCUUCCCGAUGUACCUCUAAACUCAAAAGCAAAGCCAACACUGAUAUGCGAGCUGGUUGUUUGCGUAAUUGUUCAACCACGCUAUACUCACUGUGUUUUAAGAAUUUUAGAAACUCUUUGGCUUAUUCUUCCUUCACUGGCUCAUUCACCAAUAUUUCAGCCCCUUUUCCUUUGUCAAAGGUUUUUGCUUUUGCGGGCUCAACUCUGACGCCUUCUACAUCAUAAUGCUUCCCACUACGUGUAUAAGAACCCUCAUUUUGAGCCUCCUUAGAAGCACUAGCUAUAUCCUUCUUCUCCGGCAUUGUCACAUUGCAGUUAUAAUUCCAAGGUAUCCUCUUGUUAUCCUUAUAAGGAAAGGAAAUAGGUUUAUGAAUAAUGACUUUCGGUGCCGUUGGUAUUUCAACUUCAUUAUUUCUUGGUAAAGAAAUAAUGAUCCUUGGCCGGUUUUGAUUCUUCGGUCCACCUUCUAAUGUACAUAUACGUCCCUCAUCUGAGCCAGCUUCAUAAAAUUCCAGCUCCUUAUUAUCCAUAAGGCUUUGUACCAAGGUCUUAAACUCGUCACAUUCCUGGAUCUCGUGCCCCUCUUCAGCAUGGAAUUCACAGUAGUCUCUCACUCCUCUAUUCCUUUCUUUACAGAUUAUCAUCUCUCUUUCCACCAUUUCUUCCCAAAUCAUUUUCAUCGACGUUCUCACCUCGGCCACGCUCUCUUUAAUCCUUCUCAUACCAGUAUCCCAACUGCGUUUACCCCUUGAUCACCAUGAUUUGGGAAUGGGUUCUCGUUACUAAGGGUGUCGUCAAAUUUUACAACCCCCAUCUUAAUAAGUCUUUCCACUUCUUUUUUAAAGCCAGUGCAAUUUUCGAUCGAAUGCCCUGAUAUCCCUACAUGGUAUUCACAUUUUGCAUUUGCAUCGUACCAUUUAGGGUAUGGAGGUUGCAGAGGUUUCAAAUGAAAAGGAGCUAUUGCAUGCGCAUUAAAUAAGAUUUGAUAAAUCUCCCGAUACGUCACUGGGAUAGGCAUAAAUGAGACCUUUUCAGAAUUUUGUCUCGAACCUGAUCCCUGCUUUUGAGAAUCUUGUUGCCCAACUGUAGUUACUUUGGGCUGACUAACCGUAACCGCUUUUGAGUUAUAACUAUUCAUGUGGUUCACCUCAUUAUCUUUCCUUCUUGGGGCUAAUCUUUUAACAGCUUCCCCCUCUAUCUUGCCACCCCUUAUGGCAUUUUCAAUCAUUUCUCCUGUCAUAACUAUAUCAGCAAAACUCUUGGUGGUACUUCCAAUCAUGUGAGUAAUGAAUGAUACCUUCAAAGUGUUGAUAAACAACAUGGUAGUUUCUUUCUCUAAGAGCAGUGGUUGAACUUGCAUGGCAACCUCCCUCCACCUCUAUGCAUAUUGCCUAAAGCUCUCAUUAGGCUUCUUUUUCAUAUUUUGUAAAGUGAUUCUAUCAGGAGUCAUGUCAGUCACAUGAUUAUAUUGCUGCAUAAAGGCUUGCGCUAAGUCUCUCCAAGAACCGAUCCUUGUGCGACUCAGUUGAUUAUACCACCUAGCAGCUACCCCAACCAAACUAUCCUGAAAACAAUAGAUCAAUAAUUGAUUAUUGUUUACAUAACCAGUCAUCCGUCUCCAGAACAUGGUGAUAUGGGCUUCAGGGCAAGUAGUCCCAUUGUACUUCUCGAAUUCCGACAUUUUGAACUUAUGGGGAAGCACCAAAUCUGGGACCAAACUCAAGUCCUUAGUAUCAAUUCCCUAACGAUUAUCAGCGUUUUCUAGUGCCUUAAAUUUCUCCUAUAAUCAUCUGCACAGUUCCUCUAAUUGUGUUGAUGAUUCAAGUCUCAUCUCUUCCUUCUCCGCUACAUCUAAAUCAGGGAUGACUGGAUUGGUAGGAUUAUCUCCUGGGUUAAAUCCCGAGCCAGUUUGAAAAUUCAUGGGUAUUUCAGCAUCAACUUGCCUAUGUUGAGAUCUUAUUGUGAUGGACGGCCUUCGGGGAUACGCCUCAGGUUGAGUUUGUACAUGGGGUAGAGUAAAACUCGGAGGAUGGUCCUCAUUAUCCUCUUCAGUGAUAGUCAUAGGGGCCUUUCCUUUAUCUGUUGCCCCUUUCAGCAGCUAAGCCAUUUCAGCCAUCAUAUUCUUUUGGGCCUCCAACAUUUGUUCUUUCAUCUCCUGUUGAAUUUUUGCCAAUUGUUCCUGUAACUGCUCUUGCAUUUCUUUCUGGAUCUGCUCAAGUCUUUGAUCCAUAUUCUUUGUCUUAGUGCGUGUACCGUAAGGAUGUGUUACUUCUAGAUUUUCUUUUUCUCACUCUUUCUUUCUCCCUAAUAAUUUUAACUAAUUAGGGUCUUUCUAUAAAUUUGAAUGCAUAUGAUAAAUGAGAUGCAAAUGCAUGAAUGUAAAAAGAUAUCGAUUCUGAUUCAGUUUUUUUUAGAAAAUGUUAUUUAAGAAACAAAAAUCUUUACACAAAACGGAUUACAAAUACGCCUUUGCCCUCAGGCCCAAAGUUUUAACCCUAUCCAAUAACAAAGCUAACUCUAGACCUCUAUCUGACACUAACUCAUACUUUGCACUCAAUACAUUAGCUUGCGCUGCCAAGUCUUGCAAAUGAUCAGCAACCUCUUGAAUCUGUACUAUAGCUUCUCCCAUGAGGUAGUCCCUAUCUCUGACUUGAUCAUAAAAAUGGUGAAGCUCUCCCUUCCAAUGUUCUUCUCUUGCCUCGAGCUGCUCAAUCUGUAACUCAGAAUUCUGUAAUGCUGCUUCCAACCCUCCAAUAUUGUGCUUCAUUUCCUCGAUCUUAUCCAGGCUUGCCUUUAACUCGACCGCAGAGUUAUGACUUCGGUGAUGAUGAAGAGAUCGUCCAAGCUCAGUCACCUUAGUUUUUAAUCCUUGAUUCUCCUUCUCUAGGGCUUGAUUACAUACCUGCAUCUCUUGGAACUUCUUCUCCCAAUACUCGGCUUUGGCUCUUUCUUCUUGAACCUCCUGUGCCACUGCUCUGAAGACUUCCCCAAUCCAGCUCUCUUUAUUGAUAACUGUAUCCUCUUAUAUUGCGUCUUCAAGUCAUCUCGAUCUUCAACAAUCUUCCUCUUUUCUUUCCUCUCUUUUUUGACCUCAAUUCUAUAAACGUCGACGUUUAACCUUAGGUACAUCUUCUCCUCCUCAAGCUUCUCUAUCUUUCUCCUGAGCUCUAAAUUCUUUCUUUCAAAGUCUUGCUUUAUGACUUCUAACUCUGUUGGAAUCACUCGUAAACUCUCCUCCAUCAAUCGGGUAGCCCCCAAACUUGGUCUAGGAAUGUUAUCAUUGAUCCUCUUGCUAAACCACUCUUUGUACUCAAGGGUUGUCGUCGGGCCUUCAGUCAAAAUCUUCACACAACAAAUCUUCUUCCAAGCCUCGAAAAUCUCUCGUAUCUUCUUCUUAUAAUGAUCCCCCUUAUAUGAGAAAUCACUUUGAGUUAACCCUUGUGUUGCGGUAUAAACUGCCCCGCUAUGUACUGCCUUAGGACGAGUAAUGGUGCAUAACCCACAACUCCCCAAAUUCCAGGAAGUGGUACCCAAUCAAAACUUCUGCAACGAUAAAGAAUUUUGCUAGGAGUCAUCCAAGGGGCUUUCCACAUAACAUCUUCUUCUCGGAGGUUCUGAAGUAUUUCUAUCCACCUUUCCUCUAUAAUGUCGUCCUUUUUUGGCGUAGCUGCUGUUUCCCUUAAAGGAGAAUAAUCCUCAAAGAACACUCGGCAAAGAACCCUAUCAACCUUCCAAAAAUGACUAUGGAACCAUACUAACAACAAUUGUGCACAUCCAAUGAAUCUACCUUCACCAGCUCUCCGAUAUGCACUCAAGGAUCUAAACGUCUCAGCUAGGAUUGCAGGCACAGGUGUGUACUGUUUACUAAUUCGAUCGAAUAAAUCUGCAACUGCCUUAUCUAUGUGCCCCAUAGCUUUUGGGAAAAUCACCAAUCCAUACAUACUUAAGGCCAAAACAUCAACCCUCUUCUUUACAUUUGGGUGUGCCAAUAUCAAAUCCCUCAAACUUGCCCACGGAACUCAUUUACUAUCACCCUUUUGUUGGACUCAAUCUGUGGCCCACUGUUCACUCACCUCUGUAAUCAUUAUUAAUUUCUUCACAAAAGUUGGGGGAUUAACAGCCCUAACAUAAGCUUUGUUACCUUGAAUUUUUGGAUAGCGAAGCAAGGUUUUAUACUCCUUUAAAGUAGGUACUAAGUCUACCUCUCCAAAUGUAAAACAACUAUAAGCAGGGUUCCAAAAUUGUACCAUAGCUCGAAACAAAUGCUUAUCCACCUUGAUGUCUAGCAAAUAGGGAAGAUCUCCAUAAUUUUGGUAGAACAGCUGCUUAGCCUCGUUAUCCCAUUGAGCCCAAAUGUCUUUCAACUCCUAAAACUCAUUCUGUGUCGAACUGAUACGAGUGAAGUCCCAUAACUCUGACGUAUACCCUUCAGUGACACUAUCUCUCUUCUCUAACUGGGUUUUCUCUGACCACGCACAGACAGAAGCGUUGUCCUCCACUUUAUCAAGAUAUUCAUUCCUCAUUACAAAACUUUCUAAUCCAGAAAUCGAACCGUGAAUCGAUACCUUUAAAUGUUGAAUGACAUGCAAUGAUAACAAAAUAAAAUAAGUUAGUAUCAUAUAAAAGUAUAAUAAACAAGCACUUAUAAGGGUAGCUUACUAAAGACUAUCACUAUACUCCCUAGGGUAAGCACAUAAAGUUCACUAUAUGAGUUUCAGUUCUAAAGCGAGGGUACCUGAACUAGCAGAUUCCCUGGUCCUCACCCAUUAUAGGCUCAUACGGACCAAGUUCAGUUCAGGGGGACACAUUUCCCUAUGGCCAUACAGAGAUGAAAAUCUCACGAAUACAUAGGUACGGAUGUAUCCCGGAAGCAAUCCACUAGCCCAUAUGGAGGUGAAAACCUCACGAAAGCGUAACUUCUCACUCCCACUUAAAGGUGCGACUACAGCGGUCAUGCAAAUGCAAUGUGUAGAAAACAAAAUAACAAACAUAUGUAGCAAACACAUGUAAAACAAUCAAUAUUUUAAAAUUUUUCCAAACUUCUGACAUUAAGACAGAAAAUAAUCAAUUUCUUAGCUUGACUCUCUUAUUGUCCCCAGUAGAGUCGCCAAGCUGUCGAAACCUCUUUUUUUAAAAGGGGGUAUUUUGAAAACGGGAGUCGCCACCAGCCUUUUUAGGUGUGAUUGGAUCACCUUAUAAAACAUUUUGGUCCACGAAAAUAUGAAAAGAUGGGCUCGGGAGUCGAUUACGUGCAAGGAAGGAUUAGCACCCUUGCAACGCCCAAAAUUGGUACCAAAUUAUUUUUCUGUCUUGAUGUCAAAAAGUUUUAAGGAAUUUAGAAAUAAGAUCCCUUUUUAAGCUAUAAUGAUUUGCUGAAAAUCAAGGUUCUUUAGCUCCAAAAGAGUACAAACAUCACAUCCAGCAAGAUUGGACACGAUAUUCUUAGUCUUUCGAAAUUGAAAUUAUCUCGUGAUUUACAAAAUCUAUUUAGGAGGAUACUUUAGACAUUUAGACAGACGAGAAAUCGCAACCCAGCAUGUUAGGGCACUACUUCCCGAAUUCCUAAAUACCAAAAACAUUGCCUCUCUUUUUUAAAAGUAUUUUGGAUUGAAUAAGAUAUAAAAGUUCUUUAAAGUGAUGAUGCAUUCAACUUAUUACAAAGGAUCAAUAUUAAACAAAUUAACCUACAUGAUACCUACUUUAUCAUUCCAUGCAAAUAUAAAAAUAAUAAAUAAUGACAUAAAUUACACAAUAUACAUUAUCACUUUAUGCAUAUAUAAUUAUAAACAACAUAAAUAUAAACACAUUAUUAUUUCAUGCAAAAAAUACAAAAUAGCAAAAUAAUGAAUAUAACAAUAUAAAUUACACACAUAUAUAAUAGUAUUGCACGUGAAUAUAAUUUUUAAAUAACAACAUAAAUAAUCAAUUCUCAUACGAAUAUAUAAUAAUAAUAAUAAAAUAACAUAAAGAUAACAAAUAAUCUAUGAGAUAAAAUUAACAUGUUAAAACAAUACCUAAUAAAUACAAAAAGGAUAAAAACAAAAUAUAAAAAAAAAGAUAUUUUAAACAAUAUAUAAGUAAUAAAAGAGAAAAAUUUUUAAAAAUAAUAAACAUAUAUUAUAUGAUAUAAGAGCUUAAUAUACUUAUAAAAAUAAUAAUAUGUUAAAUUGGAACAAAAUUUUGUAGUAAAUUUUAAAACAUUAGACAUAAUAUAUAUAAUAACAAUAUAUGUGUUAGUUAUAAUAAUUUACAAAUUUUAAUUUUUAUAUACUAAUAAAUAAUAAAUAAUGAAAUAAUAUAUAAUAAAAGGAAGAUAAUAUAGGGAAUAAAAUAUAAUAAAAUAUGAUAUAUAAUAAAAUAUAUAAAUAAAAUAUAAUGAAAUAUAAAUAAUAUGAUAAAAUAUCAUAUAAAUAAAAAUAAUAUAUACUAUUUUUAUAUAUAAUUAAAAAAUAAAUAAUAAAUUAAAUAUAUAAAAGGGAUUAAAAUUGAAUUUAAUUAAAAAUCUAGGGUUAAUUUACAAAUAAAUAAAAAUUUCAGGCCUAAUUGAAAUGCGCACCAAAAUUUGAGGGACUCACUAGGCAAUUAGCCCUAACCCCAAAAACGACGUCGUACUUAGAACAGGUCUUAUAAUGGCUAUUGGGACCAAAUUGCAAUAAAUGCAAAAGAUUAGGGCCAAAUCGAAAUAAAAAUAAAAUGAAUUUUAAAAACAUAAAAAUGCGGGAGGAUCAAUUGGGCAAUUAGCCCUUUAAACAAAAACGCGCGGAUCCUACCCGGAUCUAGGGUCAACGCGCGGAUCCUAGCUUUAAAACGACGCCGUUUUAAAGCUUAUUGUUUUAAGCAAAAACGACACCGUUUUCAUAAGGCUAUAUAAGCCAAAUUUUAACCUAAAAUUUCAUUUUAAAACCGAUUCUAAAAAAAAUAGAAAAAAAUCUCUGAAGGAGGGUUGGGGUCCGGGCCUCGGAGCUCUGUCGAGCCUCCGUCCUGGGGCUUACACAUGCCUACAUGCUACCGUCAACACCGCCUCUUACGGCGGUCGGAAGCUAGAAAGCUUUGUUUCUUAGAGCAAAUCCCUCGGUAAGUUCCCCUUCUUUAUAUUCUUAGCAAUAUUUAUAUGUAUUCGCAAUGAAAACAAAAAAAAAACAAAGUAAAAGUAAAUCACCACUAUUUCUUGAUUUUUAUUGUAUGUAUGCCUGUUAAAAAACCUCCUAUCCUUGAAAAACUCCUAUAUUUUAUUGUGUAUAUGAAAAUCCGUGUUUACAAAUUAGAAAAAAAAGGGGUUUUUAUAACCCUCUGUUACAUUUUGGGGAAAGAAUCCUUUGAUUUCUUUCCAAGUUUGCUUCUUUUACUGCUGUGGUUCUUUCCUUCUUUUGCAGAUAUCAGCGAGGAUCUCACGGCGAUGAGUGCUGGCAUUGAUUUGUGACUGAUUGCGGUGUGAUACAAGGCUGGAGUCACGGCGCCGGUGAAGACGUUGAUGGAAAGUCACUAGAACGACGCGAAAUGAAAAGGCGCGUCGGUUGGAGUGCUUGUGGAGCCUAGGGUUUUUGAAACCCUAGGUGUAACGCCCCAUACCCAAGACCGUUGCCGGAGUCGAACACGAGGUGUUAACGGACUUAAUUCAUUACUUAAACAGCUCAUACAAUUCAUUUUAAAAUUUCUAGACAAGCUGGCUAACUGCAUCACAGUCGCUUUAAAAAUCAUAUAUCGAGUUCCAAAACUCGAAAUAUAAUUCCGUAAAUUUUUCCUGAAACUAGACUCAUAUAUCUAUCUUCUAAUUUUUUUCUAGAAUUUUUGGUCAGGCCAAUUAGUACAUUUUAUUAGUUAAAGUCUCCCCUAUUUCAGGGUUUGACUACUCUGACCUCUGUGUAUUACGAAUCAGAUAUCUUUCUGUACAGAGCUUCAAUGACUAUGAAGUUUGUCUCUAAUAAAACUAGACUCAAUAAGGAAUCUUAAAAUAUAAAUCAUGACUCUAAUUAUCCUUGUAAAGUUUAUGGUGAAUUUCCAAAGUUAGAACAGGGGAUCCAGAAAUCGCUCUGGCCCUGUUUCACAAAAAUUUAAACAUCUCAUAAAAUAUAACUCAUAUACCUAUUUUGUUCCAUCCAUAUGAAAAUAGACUCAUAAUUCUUCAAUUCCAUAUAUUAUUCAUCAUCUAAUUGUAUCUCUAAUAUUUUUAGUGAUUUUUCAAACUCACGUCACUGCUGCUGAUUGAAUCUAUUUUAUGGUAAAUUUUACCUAUUUCAUGGUUUCCAUGGAUUAGCUAGCAAUUUAGCAUACAUAACACCAAAUAUGAUCAUGAUUAGCCAUUCCAAUGCCUAAUCAUUACCAAGCAUUUCCAUACCACUCAAUAACCAUAUCAUAAGACUAUAUACACAAAAUGAUUAUAAUGCUAUACAUGCCAUACUCAAAAUAUACAAGCCAUUAUGCCAAGAUGGUAUACGGAUAGUGUGAGCGUGCCUGCGACCAUUUCGAAUUUCCGAGCUGGCUUGUCAACACUACAAGGAAUGAAAAGGAGGGAGUAAGCACAAAUUCUUAGUAAGUUCACAUGCAAAUAGCAAGUAACAUAACUAUAUAAGCAAACAUAAAACAACAUUUGCAUAAUCAUCACCGAGACAUUCAUAUCACAUUUUCAUCUAUCAUCUUACCAUAUUGUUGUUAUAUCGAGUUUUCAACCAGAGGGUUAAGUACAUACCUGUUCAAAGUAUCCAUUUCACAACACUUACCAAUACGUCCCUUUCAUCUUGAGUAUUCCUCCAUUUGAGUAGAAUUUUACCCGUUUAACACAUCAGAAUAUAAUUCGGAUACAUGGAAAGUUUGCACAUAAGUGCCACAUAUGUAGCCAAGCUACCAUGUAACCCGCCCAUAAGUGAACUCGGACUCAACUCAACGAGCUCGGGCAUUCGCAUCCAUAAGUGAACUCGGACUCAACUCAACGAGCUCGGAUGCCUAGUUACAUCUCUCGAACUUGGACUCAACUGAACGAGUUCGGAUGCUCAACCAUCCUAGUGACAUGUCACUUCUAUCCUAAUCCAUUCCUAAGGUUCAACGGGACCUUUUUCCCAAUCAUGUGUCCCAACCAUCUUCUACGGAAUGCCGAUACCGAUACUCGGUAGUAUUUCACAUUUUCCAAAUAUAUCACAUAAUUUGACAUAUUAUCAAACAAUUAUCACAAGUAUAAUAUUUCAUAAUAAUUAUCAUAUCAUUUAAAUAACAUUAAAACAUUUAAAAUAAUAACUAUGUUACCAACAUUUACAUAUGAACUUACCUUGUAUGCGAAAAUGGCUACUUUUACCAUUUCGUCCACAACUUGGUAUUUUCCCCAUUUUAGCCUGAAUUUUAGUUUUCCUUGCUCUAUCAUUUAAAAUAUAGUAUAAUUAGGACUCACAUUAUUCAAAUUGACCCAAAAUCAUAUUUUGGCAAAAUUACAGUUUUGCCCCUAAACUUUUGCAUAUUUACACUUUUGCCCCAAAGCUCGUAAAUUAAACUUCAGCCUAUUUUAUUAUGUUUUAUGACAUGCUGAUCAUUUUUCCCUUCUAUGGCAACAUCAAAUUCUCACUCUAACAUGUACUUAUGACUAUUAGGUAUUUUUACCGAUUAAGCCCUUUUGCUAGUUUUCGCUUAAAACCGAGUAGCACAAGUUGUCUAACAUAAUUUAAAACCUCAUAUUCUAUCAUAAAACACCAGAAUACACAAAUUUCACCUAUGGGUAGUUUUCCAAAUAUGAACCCUAGGUUGAAUUAUUGCUAGCAUAAGCUUAAUCGAGCUACCGAGACUCUAAAAACGUAAAAAUCAUUAAAAACGAGGCUAGAACGGACUUACAAUCGAGCUUGGAAGCUUGAAAAACCCUAGCCAUGGUUUCUCCUUGCUAUAUUCGGACAUGGGGUUGAAGAUGAGCAAAAUUGGCUUUUAAUUUUGUAUUUUAAUUCAUUUUACCCCUAAAUGACCAAAAUGCCCUUACUACUAAACUUUCCAAAAAUUCCAUCCAUGUCCAAUUUUUGUCCAUAGACUUAGAAAUUGGUAAAAUUUCUAUUUAAGACCUCCUAAUUAAUAUUUCAAAACAAUUUCAUACUAGAAACUUCUAGAAUGCAAGUUUUACAAAUUAUUCGAUUUAGUCCCUAAUUUCAAUUUAAGUACUUUAUGCAUAAAAUUUCUUCACGAAAUUUUCACACAAUCAUGCAAUCAUAUCAUAGACCUUAAAAUAAUCAUAAAAUAAUUAUUUCUAUCUCAGAUUUUGAGGUCACGAAACCACUAUUCCGACUAGGCCCAAAAUCAGGAUAUUACAACUCUCCCCCCCUUCAGGGAUUUUCGUCCUCGAAAAUCUUACCAGAAAAGUGGUCUUCACUUUUAAUCUCAUAUUCGGUGUCGAAGAAAUUUCACUUAGGCUGUACCUCCAAUACAUCUCUUUAAUUUCUCAUAUGAUCUAAAAGCUUACAGUCUCAACUCUCAACUGUUCUUAAAUUUUCAACCCUUCUCAGUUUCCCAUGAUAUCAUGACAUAAAACUCGGAUCUUAACUUGAUUAAUGGAGACCAGAAUUCUAAGAAAUCCAACAAUUAAAGAGACCUAAAAUUCCAUGAAUCUGAUGAGUAGGAAUUCAUUCAAUACAGAUAUGAUUUAUAGGAUACAUCACAUUUUUCCUCUUUCCGCCAUAGAAAAAAUUCUGAUAUGGCCUCAAGAAUAAUCCUUCUCAUUUCCAUCCCAAUAUCAACACUGACAAGGAUAAUUUUGAUAGAUCCCAAUGUUCGGCUUUAACCCCUUUAACAACUUCAAUUUUAUGUAACAUCGAAUGCUCUAAACUAUCACAUUACCUCACUGUCUUGAAACACAUCACAAUUCAUACAACAGUACAUUACUGAAAGUCAGGAAGUCUUUACUCAAUGUAGACUAGUCUAGUUCAGACGCUUCGGUUACCAAUAUUCUCAUCUAUCCAAACUUUGUCAACAUGUAAUAAACUUUUCAGCUUUCACAAGACAAAAACCUUAUCAUUCGUAGUGAUUUUAACUAAUAUCCAACUCUUUCUAAUAAAUAUACACUUCUCGUUCAGACUAUUUACUCUUUUAUCCGUACAAAAAUGAAAUUAUAUUAUCAGACUUGAAAAAAAAUAAUCCUGACAUAAUUGUCACAUGAAAUCUUUCAAAUAAAUAAUUCACCAUACCGACUGAAACUCGCGCUUUUAUCACCUAUGCCUUUACUGAUGUCAAAUCCUUAUAUAGAAAUUAGAAAAAAAUCCCAAUACUAAAAUCACCACAUUACCAAGAUCAAAUUAGAAGUAUAGUCAUAUUUGACAUGAUUAUCACGAGCUGAAGAACGUACUUCAAACAUGAGUCAUAAUUAACAAAUUAUGGAACAAAGAUAACAAGAAAACCGAAUAAAGAAAUCCAGGAUAAAGAGAUCCAGGAUAAAGAAACCAAAGAUACGAUACUAUGCCGGAGAAUCGAAAACCAAACUCAUAGAGAAAAUACAGAAUACCUCGAUAAUUCUUCAAAGAAAGAAAGUCCAAAAGAAAACAUCAUUUAAUCCCACUGGAAUCAAAUAUAACAAGAACAAUAUAUCUUCCCAUACAUAUAUAUCAGAUGAAGCAUCAAGUAGAAGAAACAGAAUCAUAAUAUCAUAUGUAUUCUCUCAUCAAUUCUUAUCAGACGAAAUGAAAUAGAAUACCCGAUGAAAUAGAGCAAUAUAAAUUAUAAACCAGUCAGACUACCAAUGCUUUCAUCCAACACCAGGAUUAAAAGACAUUCCCAUAUAACAAGAAUUUCUUCAGAAGAUCAAUAGCCAUAGAAAUAUUUCUGAGAACGGGUAAACACAUAGAACAUCUCAAAAGAGACUGCUAAAUCUGUCCAGUCAUAACUGUCACACUCAGAUAGUUCACAUUUCAAAUAUCAUUUCCCCAACUAGUUCUGCCGUCACAAAUUUCAUAUUAAACCAUUCACUAAAGAAUGCCAGUUCUGAAUAAAUUUCAAUUUACACUUUUCUCGACCUUGCACCUGAGUAAUUCGAUUUACCAAAGAGAAUUCCUUCUCUAAUUGGGAUAGUGCAUAACUCCAAUAAUCUUUACGUCAAUCCGAUACUUUACUGGCUCUGACUUUACUUAUCAGCUCAUUUUCAAUCUCUGAUCAUACUUAUAAUUAUUCUAUCACUAAACUCUUUGGGUUCUUAACUGGAAACUUAUUCAAUACAAAUCUCAUGAAAUUUCAUUAUAAGUACCACUUCGGUAAGGGGGGUUGUAGGACCUCUGACUCGACUUUCUUAUACAUACACAUAUGACACAACUUCCAUCAUCAUAGUAACAUCAUCAAAAUCAUGGCAUUCAUUCAUGUUGGUUUACACCAAUUUUCCUAUUGUCCCAUUUAAACAAUAUACUUAUGCAUACAUUCUAUGUUUUCUAGACAGCUUUACUUAUCCAUUCAUUUAAUUAAAUUAAGUCAUGCUCAUGACAUCAUAUAAGACCAAACAAACAUAGAUAUUUGCAUCAUAAUCACAACUUUCAUUUCGUGCAUCAUCAUGUACAUAUCAUUACAAUCAUAUAAUUCAGUCCAACAAUUUAACAUAGAUAAAUUCAUUUAAUUAUAAUCCUUUAUCUCAUAAAAUUAUAUAUCAUUAACAUUUAUCAACAUUCGACGUCCAAAUCAAGACAAGGACAUUUUCACUCGUAUCAUAAUAUUAUGACCUUUAUUCAUACCUCUACAACUUUCUAUUUAUUCCGUUCAUCUUAUCAAGUAAGCCAUAUACACUACAUCAUAUGAGCAUGAAGCAAAUAUGGAUAUUUAUCACAUAUGUAUCAUAAAAUUUUAUACAUACUUUUCUAAAUCGAGACUUAUCAUAAUCAUAAUUUUACUCAAAUACCUUCACAUAAUAUUGAACAUGUUCGGCGCAGCUCGGUUGGAGAGUACCCUGUCUAAAUAAGACGGUACUCAUACGCGUCGGAAGACAUCACACUAUCACAGAUCAGCGGCAUGUAUAGCUAAACUUUUACACAUGCUAGGUUAGUCCAAGAACCGACUAAACUUACUCUGAUACCACUAAAUGUAAUGCCCCGUACCCAAGACCAUUUCCGGAGUCGAACACGAGGUGUUAACAGACUUAAUUCAUUACUUAAACAACUCAUACAAUUCAUUUUAAAAUUUCCAGACAAGCUAGCUAACUGCAUCAUAGUCGCUUUAAAAAUCAUAUAUUGAGUUCCAAAACUCAAANNNNNNNNNNNNNNNNNNNNNNNNNNNNNNNNNNNNNNNNNNNNNNNNNNNNNNNNNNNNNNNNNNNNNNNNNNNNNNNNNNNNNNNNNNNNNNNNNNNNNNNNNNNNNNNNNNNNNNNNNNNNNNNNNNNNNNNNNNNNNNNNNNNNNNNNNNNNNNNNNNNNNNNNNNNNNNNNNNNNNNNNNNNNNNNNNNNNNNNNNNNNNNNNNNNNNNNNNNNNNNNNNNNNNNNNNNNNNNNNNNNNNNNNNNNNNNNNNNNNNNNNNNNNNNNNNNNNNNNNNNNNNNNNNNNNNNNNNNNNNNNNNNNNNNNNNNNNNNNNNNNNNNNNNNNNNNNNNNNNNNNNNNNNNNNNNNNNNNNNNNNNNNNNNNNNNNNNNNNNNNNNNNNNNNNNNNNNNNNNNNNNNNNNNNNNNNNNNNNNNNNNNNNNNNNNNNNNNNNNNNNNNNNNNNNNNNNNNNNNNNNNNNNNNNNNNNNNNNNNNNNNNNNNNNNNNNNNNNNNAUUAAUUGGCUUACUGUUGAAUAUUGGCAAUAUCCCACAUUAGGAAAAGAUAGAAAUGGAGGGGGUUUGGUUUGUUAUAUAUAGAACCCCUCCCCCUUUGGUUGUAUUAUCCCAAAAUCUUCUCCUUUGUAAUAUUUCUAGAAGAAAUAUUGAUUUGGUAGUGUCCGAGGACGUAAGCUAAAUUGGCCGAACCUCGUUAAAUCUCUGGUAUUUUAUUUCUUAUUUGUUUGCUUAUAUUUAAUAGCUUUAUGUUGGUUAUAUUUAUUUAGUUAUUAUUGCUAUAAAUAUCUAAGUGAGUUCUGUCUAGUUGUUGGGUUUUAAGCGGGACCAUUUGUGACCCCUCCAAUUUAACUGGGAAUUUUCUUAGUAUAAUUAUUGGCAUAAUAAUUAUCUAAAUAUUUCUGAUAAUAUUGUUAUUAAUAUUAUCGUCGCUUCCGCAACAAUUGGUAUCAGAGCCAAGGUUUUGUAGUAUGCUCUGUGUUUGCAGCUUAGUCUGAUCUUACACAUCAGAAACAUUUCCGAAAGCUUGUGGGUAUUCCGCAUUUGGUGGCUAUUAAAUAGAAGCUAUGGCAAAAAUGACAGAAGAAAAACCAUCCAUAUCAACAACUUCCACUUCGUACAUUUUGCCGAGGAUUGGAACUGCAAAUACGAGAUUUGUAGUGGAAAUUUUUGAUGGAACAGGUCAUUUCGGCAUGUGGCAAAGUGAGCUUCUAGAUGCCCUCUUUCAACAGGGUCUAGAUAUUGCCAUUGAGGAAGAAAAACCAGAAGGGGUUGAUGAUAAAGAAUGGAAGACCAUCAACCGAUUGGCAUGUGGUACAAUUCGAUCAUGUCUUUCCAGAGAGCAAAAGUAUACAUUCAGUAAAGAGACUUCUGCAAGUAAAUUGUGGAAAGCAUUGGAGGAGAAAUUCUUGAAGAAGAACAGUCAAAAUAAGUUGCAUAUGAAGAAAAGACUGUUUCGUUUCAAUUAUGUUCCUGGUACCACGAUGAACGAGCACAUUACCAAUUUUAAUCAGCUGGUGGCUGAUUUGUUGAAUUUGGAUGUGACUUUUGAAGACGAAGACUUGGCGUUAAUGUUGUUGGGAUCGCUUCCUGAGGAGUUUGAGUACCUUGAAACUACUCUACUUCAUGGAAAAUCGGAAGUAACUUUCAAUGAAGUAACUGCUGCAUUGUAUAGCUAUGAACUACGCCGAAAGGAUAAGUUGAAAGGUUCAGGUGAAGCAGCAGUGGAAGCAUUGGUAACAAGAGGUCGUCAGCAAAGUCAGUCUAAGGGGAAGAGAAGAAAGUCCAAAGGUCGAGCUGUUGCCAAAGAUGAAUGUUCUUUUUGCAAAGAAAAAGGACAUUGGAAGAAAGAUUGUCCAAAAUUGAAGAAAAAAGGGAAGACUCCGCAAGAUGCAAAUGUUGCAGAAUGCAAUAGUGAAGCAGAGUCAGACUUUUGUCUUAGUAUGACAUCUUCAACAUUAUAUGCAGAUGAGUGGAUCAUGGAUUCUGGUUGUUCCUAUCAUAUGUGUCCCAUUCGGGAAUGGUUCUUUGAAUUUCAAAAACUAGAUGAAGGGGUUGUUUACAUGGGUAAUGAUAACACAUGUAAAAUAGCCGGGAUAGGUUCAAUUAAACUGAGGAGUCAUGAUGGAUCUACUAGAAUUUUGCGGGAUGUACGAUAUGUCCCAAAGUUGAAGAAGAAUCUCAUCUCUUUGGGGUCGUUAGAAUCUAAAGGCCUAGUUGUGACAAUACGAGAUGGAGUUCUUAAAGCAACUUCAGGAGCAUUGGUGAUGUUGAAAGGCAUAAGAAAGAACAAUCUGUAUUACUACCAAGGUAGUACAGUGGUCGGGACAACAGCAGCAGCAAUUACGAGUACCAAGAAGGACGCUGAGGCAACACAGCUGUGGCAUAUGCGUUUGGGCCAUGCUGGUGAAAAAUCCUUGCAAACUCUAGCCAAGCAAGGAUUAUUGAAAGGUACAAAGACUUGCAAACUUGAAUUUUGCGAGCAUUGUGUUCUGGGAAAACAACGAAGGGUGAAAUUUGGCACUGGGAUUCACAAUACUAAAGGUAUUCUGGAUUAUGUGCAUUCUGAUGUAUGGGGACCGUCCAAGACUCCAUCACUUGGAGGAAGACGUUAUUUUGUCACCUUUAUUGAUGAUUUUUCCAGACGAGUUUGGGUGUUCCCUAUGAAGAACAAAGAUGAGGUGCUUGAAGUUUUCCUUAAGUGGAAAACUAAAGUUGAAAAUCAGACAGGAAGGAAGAUUAAGGUUCUCCGAUCAGACAACGGUGGAGAAUAUAAAAGCGAUCCUUUCCUGAAGAUAUGCCAAGAUUGUGGCAUAGUAAGGCACUUCACCGUAGGUGGAACACCGCAACAGAAUGGGGUGGCAGAGCGUAUGAAUCGAACGCUUGUGGAGAAAGUUCGAUGUAUGUUAUCUAAUGCUGGAUUAGAUAGAAAGUUUUGGACUGAGGCUGUGACGUACGCUCAACAUCUCAUCAAUCAUUUGCCAUCAUCUGCUAUAAAUGGCAAGACUCCUUUGGAGAAAUGGUAUGGAAAACCUGCUACUGAUUAUGACACCUUGCGCAUUUUUGGUUCUAUUGCAUAUUAUCAUGUGAAAGAAUCAAAGUUAGAUCCAAGAGCAAAGAAGGCUCUAUUCAUGGGCUUCAAUGCUGGUGUUAAGGGAUAUCGUUUGUGGUGUCUAGAGGCAAAGAAGACGAUAAUCAGUAGGGAUGUUACCUUUCAUGAAUCUGCCAUGUUGAAUAAGGUAAAUCCAGAAGGAGUGAGUAGUACUUCGCAGCAGGUGGAGUGUACUCCGCAGCAGGUGGAGUUUGAGCAGAGUGUGGUAAUUCCAGCAAAAGGUACCACUAGUGAUUCUUCAUUGGCAGAUGCAGAGUCAGAUGAGGAAGAGGUUUCUACCCAAGAACCUCAACAGCAAUCAGAGCCAAUUGCAGUCAGAAGGCAGAGACGAGAAAUUCAGAAACCUGCUCGUUUCACUGACACGGUAGCUUAUGCACUUCCAGUUGUUGAUAAUAUUCCAUCCACUUACACCGAAGCCAUUCAGAGUUUAGAGAAUAAUAGAUGGUUAGGUGCAAUGGAAGAGGAAAUGCAAUCUCUAGAGAAAAACAAGAUGUGGAAGCUGGCACAACUACCAAAAGGGAAGAAGGCGAUUGGUUGCAAAAUUGAAGACACUAUUGAAGUUUGUGUUAUGAGAAGAUGUUCGAAGAUGUGGAAUAUCGCCAAGGUGGAGAUUUGUUGAAUAUUGGCAAUAUCCCACAUUAGGAAAAGAUAGAAAUGGAGGGGGUUUGGUUUGUUAUAUAUAGAACCCCUCCCCCUUUGGUUGUAUUAUCCCAAAAUCUUCUCCUUUGUAAUAUUUCUAGAAGAAAUAUUGAUUUGGUAGUGUCCGAGGACGUAAGCUAAAUUGGCCGAACCUCGUUAAAUCUCUGGUAUUUUAUUUCUUAUUUGUUUGCUUAUAUUUAAUAGCUUUAUGUUGGUUAUAUUUAUUUAGUUAUUAUUGCUAUAAAUAUCUAAGUGAGUUCUGUCUAGUUGUUGGGUUUUAAGCGGGACCAUUUGUGACCCCUCCAAUUUAACUGGGAAUUUUCUUAGUAUAAUUAUUGGCAUAAUAAUUAUCUAAAUAUUUCUGAUAAUAUUGUUAUUAAUAUUAUCGUCGCUUCCGCAACACU
This 50397-nucleotide long non-coding RNA is filed under the name Gossypium barbadense (sea-island cotton). RNAcentral's name for it is "long non-coding RNA (GBAR_LNC012470)". Lineage: Eukaryota; Viridiplantae; Streptophyta; Magnoliopsida; Malvales; Malvaceae. The record is from RNAcentral.